This 74646-nucleotide long non-coding RNA is filed under the name Cucumis sativus (cucumber). RNAcentral's name for it is "long non-coding RNA (CSAT_LNC003159)". The record is from RNAcentral. Lineage: Eukaryota; Viridiplantae; Streptophyta; Magnoliopsida; Cucurbitales; Cucurbitaceae.
AAAAAAAAUUGUUUUAAACAACAAAGCUUAGCCAAAUACAAUUUAUAUGGAACAAAUUAUUAUGUGUCUUUCAAAAUGAUAUUUUAUAAAGAACUAUUUUUUUAAAAAAAUAAAACCCCGUGAUAAAACAUGAUUAGUUUCUUAAUUACAUUUUACCUUUGGGGCGCGUACCACCCAAACAAAUCUCUGCCGACUCAUCUCCAAGCCGUGAGCCACUUCUGUCAUUUGCUCAAACGACAGCGUUCCACCGCUCCCAAACGACACGUAGAUCACCGACUCACUGGGUUGCUUACUCAACCAAUUAAACAACUCACUCGAACCGCCUUUCUUCGAACCGGGCUGCCUCACGAUUGGUCCAAUAGAGUAAACCGGCGGUGAGAUUUUACCCAACAGAUUCCGGUCGUUUAAAGAUGCGAGCGUGCGAUCUUGCAACUCAUCCCACGUGUUAACCAAAACGCCGUCACUCGAUGCUAUCCCCAUCCCCAAUUUCAAGAUUUCGAAAUAUUGCUGUUCGGUCCGGUCCAGAAGUGGGUCGAUAACAUCGCAUGGCCGAACCGAUUCGCAUCCUGGGAUUUGAAGCGGUUCUUUCUGGUCCACGUACUGGCCAACGAUCUCCCUGUCCCACACCUGAGCGUAAACCAUGACGGCUAAGAACCAUGCAUUGGAGGCAACGAACGCGUAUUUCUUCAUGUCGAACUCGUCCGCGACGGCGAAGGAUUCGAUGGAGAAGAUGUCAGCAAUGAGGACGGAGGGAGGGGAGGUCAUGGCGGAGACCGCGGAGCGGAGUAUCGGGACAUGGCGGCGCAUGGUGAUGGCGAGGCGGCCGACAACGGAGGAUUCAGUGACAUCAGACAUGUCGGCGGGAGGAAGUUCGACAACGGUGAAGAGACCAGCUGCUUGGGCGGCGGCGAUGACUUUGUUUUCGGCGGAGGAGGAGCGGGAGGGGACGAUGAAAACAGUGACGGUGAGACGGUGGCGCGUGGAGAGGCGCGUGGCGAACUCGAGUGCGGGGAAAAGAUGGCCCAUUCCGGGGCUGGAAAUAAGAGCAACAUGAGCUGCGGAUUCCAUGGACAGAGGAAGAACUGAGAAAUGAGUAAUAAUUAGAAACAAGAGGUUAUGGGUGUGACUUUGUUGUAUAUGAAUGUGGUAUAUAUAUUGCCUUGGAUGUGGUAGGUUGAGAUGAUUGAGGGUAAAUCGAAUAAAAAAAUUGCUUUCAUGCAAUUCCAAAAAAAAAUGUUACGAAAUUAAACACGUUACCAAAUCGCCUCUUAAGCAAUGACAAAAAGACUAAUAGUGAUUAAAGAUUGACACGAAUUUACGUGUCGAACAAAAUAAUAACAGUAUUAUUACAUAGAAUAUUUUUUCAUAAUACAGUAUAAACCUCACUAGAUUAGAGAGUUUUAAACUCCAAUUUUCUUUAGACUAAUGGAUUGUGUUCAAAGCACCCUCAACGAAUUCAAGACAAUCCAAUAAAACAAAUAAAUGAAAAGGAAAAUUUAAAGCAAAUAAAAAUCAAUUAAAACUACAUAGUUUAUUAACAAUGUAUUAUUAACUAUGUCUACAAGUGUGAGUAUAACAAAAUCUUUUUUUUUGUAAGUUAAAAGCAACAAGAUAUAGAUUUAAAAGGCAUUUCAAUAUUUGCUUCUAUGCAUCACAUCAAAUUAUUUAAUCAUAAGUUACACCUUGAUUUCGUAUAUAGGAAAUGGUUGAAAAGAAAAUUAGUUAAAGUAUUUUACUCGGCAAAACUAUAAAUAAUAUAUAAAUCAUUGCUAAACUUUAUUAUUUGUUAUAAAAAGUACUUUUAUUCCUUUAAGCGUAUCUACAUUUUUUUUAUACCAAUUUGAGAUAUAAAAGGUGUGUGGGAAUGAACUGUGGAAUAAUGUGAGUGUUUAAUUUGCAUUUCCAUUUCCAUUUUUUUAAAUUCUAAGUUCAAUAUUCUAAUUAAUUUUUAUAUAUAUUCCAAUAUUAGUUUAGAUUCAUUUAUGGAAAGCCUCCAUAAUGUUAAAACUUUUGAAAGGAAUUGGUUUCUUUUAAACCAAAGACAAAGUUCACACGUGAGUUUUGUGUUUUUGGUAGGUUUUUGCCAUUUAACUUUUUGUUACCACUUAUUUCAGUAAGGAACAAAUUUAUGUCGUAAGAAUAACUUCCUCUACGUUGAAAGAAAAUCGAUAAAGUAUUUAAAAACAAAAUAAAGAAAAUGUGUGAAAAGAUGAAAGAAAAACAUGCAUAAAAGUAUCAUCCAUCUUAACCACAAAUCUUUACUUACAAAAGAAGCGAAAGGAGAUAAAGUUAAACAAGCAAAAAAGGCAAUUUAGUAGUCGUCAGUCAAAUAGUGGACUCGAUUGUGUAGAUAUAUUAUUAGUGAUUGAGUAAAAUAACAUGACAAUAUAUAAUAAGAUUUUUAACUAGAGAGAAACGUCAGUAUAUGUUAGCCUCAAUAAAACAUGAGGUAAAAAACACAUUAAGGUCAUAUGGAGUGUGUAGUAAGGAGAGAGUCAGUUUCAUCGCACCUACAAAAUCAAAAUAGUGUGGUAGAUAGAGUAGUUUGUUGAACAAGAGACAAUAACGUGAAUCUCAUUUUCAAUAUUAGUAGGAUAUUAUCUCAUUUGAACAUAUAUAGCACUGAUACCUUCAUAUAUAGUUAAUUAAUUUGUUGAGAAGGUGUGAUGUAGAGAAACGACAAAUAAUAAUGUGAAGUUAGAAAAAGAAACGAGUUAUGCAUGUGAUGAAUAAAAUUAUAGAAGGUACAUAUAAUUAAAAUUUAAUUAUAAAAUUUUGAAUUGGGAGUGAAAUGGGAACACAAUGUGAUAAAAGAGAGACAUAGUUGAAGAAGAGUUGGUCUGGGGUUGUGGUGGUGAACCGGUGAACCGGUGGUAGGUAGGAGAAGCCGAAGUUAUGUGCCCUAAUUUUUGUUGUUUAUUCUAAUUAUUAUUGACUUUUAUUCCAAUGGUUUUUUACUAUAUGCUCCCUCUCUAUUUUAAAUUAUUCAAAGUACAUACACAUAUAUAUAAUAAUGAUAAUAAUAAUAAUAAUAAUUUCCUCUUAACAAAAAGAAAAAAACAAAUAAAAAAAGAAUUUUAAACCUUUAGUAAGUUUUUUAUUCACGUUCCGAAAUCAAAAUAUAGUCCAAUGAACUAAAAUACUAAGAGAUUAACAAAGUUUUAGAUUCUAUUUAGAUCUAUUGUUUACCGAAUUUGAAAUUUUUGUUAUAUUGGGUAAAUUAUUUUUAACUAUUGUUAGGAUUUAAUCUACUUAUCUUCAACUCGUGGUGUUAAAAAAACCACUAAAUUGUAUAUCUAUAAACACGUAGAUGUAGGUACAUAGACACAUGUAUAUAUUCCUAUUUUGUUUCAGUAUUUUUGAUUUAAAAUAUCAUUGAAUUUUUUAAAGGGUAAAAAAUGUUGUUACAUGUUUAAAAAUACUACUACACAGUUAGUUUUAAAUAGAAACAAUUAAUAAGUAUUUACGACAUGCAUCAACUUCACAUUAGUGUUUAAGGUUAAAAUUAUAAUAUAUAGUUAAUGUUUCUAACUAUUCUAACUAAUAAUUAAUUACAAUAUUUCAAAUUUCAAAUUUUUGUAUUUGUUACAAUGUUUACUAUUUAUUGUAGUAUUAAUUAUUUUCUAUGCAUGCAUAUUAUGUCUUUUCCUAAUUAUUACUGUUUCUCUAUUGUUUUAUAUAUCUACACUAAAAUAGUAUACAGUCAAACACAAACUAUUAUAAUUUAAACCAACAUAAUUUGCAUCCAAAAUAUAGAUUAUUAUAACUUACAAACUAUAACAACCAAUUCAACGCCGCAAAUGUCAUCUCUAGCUUUUUGUUUCAAAAGUUAUCUCUAACUUUUCAAAAGCAGUAAACACAUUAGGUUAAAAAAUACAAAAUACACAAAAACUUCAAGUUAAAACUAAUUUUUCUAUGUAUAAUAUAUCCAUCCAAUUACCACACUAGUGUGAUGAGAGAUCUACAUUGGCUAGAUAUAAUUAGGCUUUUUGGACUGUAAGAAAGUCAUUAAGACCUUCAGUAGAUUGAAUGAAGGUUUAUUAUACCUAACGUUUUGAUUCACACGUAACAAAUCUCUUUUUAUAUCAAAGACACAAUCAAUGAUGAAUGAGAGGUAGUUGUUGUGAUUUUAGUUAAUGGUUGUGGUUGUUUAAUUGGUUUAGAAGAAGGUUUUGGUGGGGUCUUUCACGUGCUAGGAGAAUUGAAAUGAGUUGAGUUAAUAAGUUUUGGAAUUAGUAUUUUGGAAUUAUAGUAAAUUAGUGUUUGAAAUGUAGCGUUAUAAAAUCACGUUUUUCGAUAAUGGUAAAAAAUACAUAUUAAAACUAAGAUUGAACUUAUUGUAUGUUAAAAUAUACAUACAAAAAUUAAAAGAUAAAGUAACUCAAUAAAUGUUUAAAGUAAUUAAAGACUGUUUGCAGAGUGUUACCACUAUAAUUUAAAAUUAAAAAAAAUUAUGACUUAAAUAUUAGACAUCAUUUUAGUUUUGUAUCUUUUUAAAUAUCAAAUUUGGAUCUCAUACUUUUCAACUUUCUUUAAAACAACUGUUUUAGUUUCUAUGUUUUGAUAGGAUGGGAAGUUUAACUAUAUCAUUAACAUCUUAAAAUGUGUACCACUCAAUUACAAAAAUUUUAGACUUUAUAAAGAGGUGAGAUGAUUAAUAUAUAUAUAAAAAAUGAGAAUAGGACAAUUAAGAUAUUGUUUUUAAAAUUGGGGAUACCCUUUUGGAAAAUUGGCCCCACUUUGUGAGUGAAAGAAAAGAAGAUUUAAAAUUUUGGGAAUAUAACACUUUGAAAAUGCGGUCAGGCGGUCAGCAGGGAAGACAACAGCUGGGCAAUUAUAAUGUUUAGAAUAAAAGCUGCCCGAUUAUAUUAUAUUUGAAGAGAAAUUUGCACCACUCCACCGUAUCCUCUCAUUAAAUAUUACAUUUUAGAUUAAAGUAUUUAUUUUUGUUAAUCUUAUUUUAAUAUUUUAGUGCAUUCACUUGAUUUUAUGCUCAAUUACAGAGACACCCGUAGUAAAGAGAUUCUUUUACUCACGUAUUAUCUUAUCAAAAUCCAUUUUAAUCCGGAACUUAAUAUCAAGCGUUAUCCAUCAUUUUCGAUUUAAAACUUUAAUAUUUUUCAAUUUAAUAGAGUGUAUCAAGCGUUAUCAAUCAUUUUCGAUUUAAAAGUUUGAUACUUUUCUAUUUGAUAGAAUGGUUUCAUUAGAUAUUUAUAGUUAUUGAGGUGCUUGUGCUUGGAUUGAAAUAUUUUUAGGUGACCACAUGAACGGUGAAAUUUAAAGAUUUAUUUUGAUAAUAAAAAAAUAUUUUUGAAUUAGAAAAAUAGCAAAAGAAUUUCUAGAAUCAUUAAUUACUAUUGUAAAAAAAAAAAAUGAAAAUCACCUGUGAAAACAGAAAACUUAUUAGUCUAAAAAUAAUAUAUAUAUAUUGAAGUUUAUAAUAAUUUCGAGUUAUGGAAUGAAUAUAAUAAAAGAUUAUUUAUUUGAAUCCAAUAAUUGAUUGAUUUUUUCGGUCAUUAUUUUUUUAUUUAAGAAAGAUUUGUCACGUCAUUAUUAAUUUUAUUUUGUCAAUAUAUGAUAUUCAAUUUUGUAUCUAUGGUCAAUUUUUCAUUCCUUUGAAGUAUUGAAGGUUCACAUUUCUAUGGUCGAGGCAUGAUUAGACUUCAACAAUACUUUGAUUUUUGAAUUGAAUUUAGGAAUUGUAGAUGUUUGUCACCACAAUAAUAUUAAAUUAAUUAAAUUGUAUGGUUAGAAUUUAAUAAUACUUUGAUCUUGAGUCGAGAGAUUGCAGAGGUUGGUAAUGUUGGUCACUUGGCUUUGAUAUAUUAACAUAGACAGGUUGAAGCAUGGUUUUACACUUGGCUUAUGUACUUAUCUUAGAUUCAAUAAAUCAAAUAACUCAUACAUAAACUUUAGUCCCAUAUUAAUUGUCUUGAGUUUUUUAAAAUAACAUUUAAAUAUAUUUAUUAUAAUUUUUCUAACGUUUUGUUAUCUAAUUUUCAAGGACCAUGUUAAAAUAGAUAAAUUUUCAAAAAUAGAAUGCAAAAUAUUUAUAUUUAUAGAAAAAUCUUGUGAUUUUAUUUUAUAGAUUACGAUAAAUAGUUUGUCAAUUUUUUUUUUACUUUUGAAAGUUUUCAUUUAAAAGAUCCCUGUUCACACGAGUUGAAAGUUUUUAUUUAAAAAAUCACUGUUCACACGAGAUUUUGAAAGGAAUGUAUUUCGUGGAAUUGAACUUUGAUAUAUUGAUGAAUAUUGAAUAUUGUGAAUACAAUCUCUAGUAUUUACUUAUUUGAUGUUUUCCCUUGAAUACAAAUUAAAAACUUAAAACUUCUUGGUUUUCGGUAUUCAAAAUGUUUUAGUUGCAAGUCGAUUUGAACUUCAAUCUUCUAGAAUUUAAGAAUUUAAGAAAAGUUUAAUCUUCAAACUCUUCAAUCUUUCAGAAGCCGUUGAUCUUGAGAUUGAUACAAAUUUGCACGUUUUGAGAGCUUGUAGAAGUUUGAAUAUUCAAAUUUUCAGAGCUUCAGUACUUCAGAGUUUCAAUUAUUAUUUCAACCAAAAACCCCUCAAAGUUCUCUAUUAAUAGAUAAAUUUUAUGGCCUUUAGGUGGACUUUGACUCAUUUUCUUAGUGGGCUUGGACUUGGGCCCAUUUGCUUGUUGGGCUUGGACUUAAGCUCAUUUUCUUAGCAGGCUCGGUCUCCAUUGUUUGACCCGAUUUUUCAUCAGGGGCUUGCAUUGGGUUGGCUAUGAGAAAAUUGAUUACCCACAAUCCAAUCAAAUUAUAGUCAUCACGUUUUGUUGUGAUGACGUGAUAAAAUUUAAUUGGCUAAAAUUUCUUGCUCACCAAACACACCAAAAUUUAUAGCUAAUUCCAUGAUUUAAAAAAAAAUGGUAAUUUUAUUUUUUCAAAAUUUCGUUCAUAAUUGUUGUUUCAAAGAAAAAAAAGCUAAUUAGUUAUAAAACAAACUCAUCACUUAUUAAAAUCCUAAAAAAAUUGUUUUUAAAAGCUUUUUUCUUAAAUAAUUGUUUUUUUUUUAUAAAUAAUUUAGUUGAUAAUUCAAUCUAGAACCUUUUUAAAAAUAGUAAAAUAAAUUAAAAUAUUUAUAAACUUUAGAUUAUAUCAAUGAUAGUUAUCACUACAACAUAUAUCAGUAACUAUCUAUGAUAUAAUUUGUAACUAUUUUAUAAAAUUUUUAUUUUUGAAAAUUCUCCAUCAAUUUAUGUAUUUACAAAAUAUGUAAAUCAACGGACGAAAUAACACUUAUUUUAAAAUUUUAAAAUGAAAUUUUAAUAUGUAUUUUUUAUUCUCAAUUAUUGUAAAUUGUGCCUUUCUUUCCCAUGAUUUCAUAUUUUCUAUAGAGACUGUUUUUUUUUUAUUAAAAAAUGAAAAAAAAAAAUAGAACUAUUUGUGUGGUUUAAUAUUUUUUGUUCUAAUUUUGAAAAAACUCUAAAUUGUAAUGAACAAAACAUAGAAAGCAAUAGCUUGGAAUAAAGUUGAUGGCUCAGUUUUUAAAAGACUGAAAACCAAAAGUGUUAUCAAAUGGAGUUUAAAUCUUACCCUUCAAGUUUAGAAAACCAUUCAAUUUGAUCUUUAAUUUUUUUUAUUAGUUAAUGACAACAUCAACUAUAAGAUUUCUUAAACCCAAAGGGAAAAGUAUAUAUUUGGUCCCUAUAUUUUUUUGUUAUUUAACUUUCAUUUAGUUUAAAGGUUUUUCAAAAUAAUACACAUUUACUAACGGCAAUUUUAGAGUUAAAAAAAAAAAGAAGUAAAAUUGUGUAUAUCGGAUAAAAUAGUUUGAACUACAAAAUUAUUAUUAUUGUAAAAAACGAAAACUGGAAAUUGACAUAUAAUUCAAUCAUUAAUCUUUAAACCUCCGAACAUAAUAAAUUGGCAUACAAUAUAAGAAUUAAUAACUUCGGUCAUCUUAUAAAAAAAUAAAAAAUUUAGAUCGAAAUAACUAAUGUUCAAAUAAAUAAACUUGCUUAAAUUAGAUAAAACAAUGGAACUACGUCCAAACAACGUAAAAUUUGACAAACAUAUUGCAAUAUCUUAAAAGUUUAGAAUCUUCAAAAAUGGAAAUGAAACGCAUGAUAAAAGAAUUAACAAAUGUUGUAUAUUUAUAGAUCGAGUUGGGGACUAUACAAACAUUUUGCUUUUCCAAAUUCACAUUUUUAUUUACAAUUCUAACUUAAUUAGUAAUUACCAAAAAAAUUAAAUAAAAAUUAUCAACAGUAUAACAAAAGACUAAGAUAUUUACAUAGUGUAACAAAAUAAAAAACCUCACGAUGUCAUACAACUUUUUAAUGUUUCAGGUUUGUCAUUUCUUUUCAUAUUUGCAAUUUUUCUUUUACUUUCUAUCAUUAUUUUCUCUUAUUCUGUCAUUUCGUUUUCAAACUCUUAUAUGAUUCAAGAUCGUAUAUCAAAUGUAAUUUUUUUAAAAUGAUUGGAAUAUUGAUACACAAUCGUCGUUUAGAUUUCAAACCUAAAUGUGUACCAAUAAUAACUAAAUUUAAAUGAUCAUGUACCAAAUAAUAACUAAUUUUAAAUGAUCGCAUAAGAAAUGAAUAAUUCAUCGUAGUCGGAUUCAAUUUUAUAGUAUAAUGUCCAAAAUUGAAUGAAAUUUAAGAUUAAGAAAAUAAUCUAAUUUUAAUCCUAAGCCGUUAGCUUUAUUUAAACCAAAAAACUGCAAGAGUAUACUAUAUUACAUUUAAAUUACAAAAGGACAUAUACAUGAUUAAUGAAAAAAUGGGAGUGGAAUCUUGUCUAAAAUGUUUUUGUACGAUUAUGAUCAUAAGAAUUAUGAUAUUAUACUAUUAUUAUGUAAUUUAAUAUAUGAAACUUUAGUUUAGUAAUGCAUUAGUUAAAUAAAUACACACAAAUAAAAAAUAAAGCAUGAAUUAAAACAUUGGGUAAAUUUUGUUUCUCCAAAAAAAACUCAUAUUUAUUUGUUUUCUAAAAAAAUAUUAUUUUAAAACUAUCUUUUAAGUGUUUAUCAAAUUCUCUGACUUUUGAAAAAGACUUUUUUUAACUAAACAGUUAAUGACAUAUUCCAAACACAUUUUUUUUUCUAAAAUGUUUUAGUUUCAAAUUUCAUCCAACCCAACUAAGUAAUAUUGACCAAUUUUGGUAGUCUAAGAUGCACGUAUCAAAUAUAUGAACAACGUUGAAUAAAAUCUCAAAGCAUUUUGCAUAUUCAUCGAUUAACUAAACAUAUUUUUAUCGUUUUAUUUAUUCACGUGGACAAGAGAAUUUUAUUUUUCUCUAUUUCUUUUACUUUUUACGUUUAUCCAACUCUAUUUUUCUACUUUUUCUCUCUUUGCAUUUAUAUUUUACACGUAUUUUAAUUAUUUUAAUCAUGUAUUUGUUUAGAAAUAAGGUAAGAUGAGAUAAAACCGAAAGGAGAUGUAAGCAUAGUAAUGGAAGAUGAAACCCCUACUUUGUUACUGAUAAUGGGAGCACGAGAGAAAAACACUUGCAAGAGAGUAACAAUACACACUGGAUUUCAUCUUUACACUUGACAGAAUUGGUGGAGAAAUCUUAGGGAAAAAGUUAAUUACAUGAAAUGUGGGCCUUCAUGAAGCCCUUCUAAGUUCUUAAUUGAUACCUGGGCUUUCAUGAAGCCCUUCUAAGUUAGACCUUGAGCAAGCUUCAUAGUAUCUAUCUAUCUACCUACAUUUGUCUCAACUUGGCUCUUUGAAGAGUCUAGAACAAUUUUCUUUUUUGAAUCUUCUCUCAUUCGUCAAUCACUUCUAACAAGUAAGGAUCAUCUUUUCUAUUUUUUUGUAAUCUGUAAUCGCUCUCUAGGUUGCCUUUGUGGGUGUUAUUAUAAACUCAACGUUGAGUUCAAAAUAAAAUUUAUAAUAUACGCGAUGGUAAAAAGUUUAAAAUUUUAAUGAAUACAAAUCACAAUAUAAAAAAACUUAAAAGUUAGAUACAAGUAUUAUUUUGAUCCAUACAUUAUUGUAAGACUUAGAUUAGAAAGGAAUUAGAUUUUAGUUUAUAUACUUUGAAAGAAUUUUAGUGAAGGUAAUUUCAAUAAACAUUAAAUUUAUAUCUCCUCGAUUUUAGUUGAUUCAUAAUAAAUACUUUUUUAUUGUUAACUUUCAACAUUAAAGUACACAAUGAAAAAAGGUAUAUAAAAAAAUAUUAUUAAAUUAAAAUAUCACUUUUGUUUAUAGUUCAAUUUUAGUUUAUAUAUUUUUAAUGAUUCAAUUUUAAUUAUCGUAUUUUCAAUCAAUUUUAAAUUCACUCCAUUAAAUUUAAAUUUUAUGGAAACUUAUUUAAUAAAAACAAUAAUUUUAACGUAAGAAAAUACAAUUUACAAUAUAAAAAUGUGAUAGAUAAGGAUUUUUUUAAAAAAUAAUGUGUUUUGUAAAAGUAUUUACAAAAAUAGGGUAGUUGGGAAAGUAUUUUAAAAAAUAGGUGACUGAAGUCGUGUACGGGGUACACGACUUCAACAAAUCGAAAUGGUGUCGUGGACCGGGCUUACGAUAUCCGAGUGGAGUCGUGGACCCGGGCCACGUUUUCUGACUGGAGUCGUGUACGGGUACACGACUCCCGUACAGCUGACACAUUUUGUCGCGUAUUGUGGAAGUCGUGUACCCCGUACACGACUUCCGUACAAUGAGUCAACGGUCAACAGUCCAAUCAACCAUAGGGUUCAUCCAUUUUUCCUUUCAAACUUUCUCUUCCUCUCUUCACUUUUCCUCUUCUAUUUCGUCAUAAAUGUAUGCUUUUCUAAAAAUCGUGGACACAAUUUUGUUGUUAAAAUUAUUUUAUUAAUUAUUUUAUUUUAUUAUUAUGUUGAUAAAAUAAUUUAUUUUUUGUUGUAAGCUUCUCCUAUUAUUUAAGUGUUUUUAAAUUUUGCUAGAACUUAUUCAAGUUGUAUAAAUAAAAAAUUGAACUUUUUUAAAUUAAUUAUAAAUUAGAAGUUGCUAAUACAUGAUUUAGAUGUAGGAGUAUUCUUAAUAAUAUCAAUAUAUAAUAUAUAUUUUUAAAGUAGAGAACCAAGUAUUAAAAAAAACGUUCAAAAUAUUUUUUUCUCAAUCUAUCUUAAGCCACAAGAUUUAUUUAAUAAAUUAACAAAAAUUCUUAUAAGAUAUCACUAAUGAUGUGUUUUACCUUUGGUUUAUUUUUUUAAUUUGUUCAUAAUAAAUAUAAAUUAUCAAAAAUUUGACCAUUUAAACAAAAACUAAAAUUCUCACAUAUUUAAAGUUAAACAUUUAAACAAAAACAUAAAUUUUCAACUACCCUAAUUUUGAAAAUAUUUUUUAAAACACAUUAUUUUUAAAAAAAAUCGGUCUUUCACAAAUGUUUUUACUCUAAAAAUAGUUAAUCUUUUAAAAUAUAAUAAUUUUAAAAACAAUUAUUUAGGAAGUCGUGUACCCCGUACACGACUUCCGUCCAUGUGGGUCAAACUCGUGCAUACGUGGAGCGAAGUGGUCAAAUGUGCUGACAUGUACAUUUAGGAAGUCGUGUACCCCGUACACGACUUCGUUCAAUUUCAUUUGGAAGUCGGGGUAUACGACUUCCUCCAAUUUCAAAAAAACACUUAUUUUUUAAAAUAGUUUUGGAAACAGUCUUAUUCUUAUAAUUUCUUUUCCAACAAUCCUAUUUUUCAAAAUAUUUUUACAAAACACAUUAUUUUUAAAAAAAAUCCGAUAGAUAACAAUGAAAAAUUGUUAAAAAUAUAGAAAAUAAAAUUGAACUUUAGAAAUCUUAUUAUUAUUAUUUAAUAAAUUAUAAUAAAAAAUAAUGAUGAGGCGUUAAACUAAAAUGUGGAAAGGGACUAAAAUGAUUUAUUAAAAAAAAAUGUAUACUUAGUUACCCAUAGAAAGUGGAAAAAGGAAAUAAUAGUAAUUUAGACAGUGUGUGACUUAAUAAAAAAAACAAAGAAAAGAAAGUUAAAAGAAAAUUUGAAAUUAAUUUGGAUUUCAAGCAAAAGACGUCCCGCCUCUGUGUGGUAGAAGGAAAGAAGCAUUGGCGUUGAUCUUACGCUCAAAAUCCCCAAUUUCAAAAACCCUAAUUCUCUCUCUUCCUCUCUCUCUCUCUCACUUAUCAUCUCCAUCCUUUUUCCCUCUACAUUCGCAAUUUCUAAUCCGGAUCCUUCGGUUUCAAUCCGCCGCACCAUUCUCUUCUCCUUCUUCUUCGCAUUCUCGUUCGUUUUCCUACUCAGUUUUUGAACACAAUGAGGAAAGGUACUAAAAGAAAAGCAGCUAGAAAGGAAGAGGAUAAACCUGCGGAACCUAAGCCCGACAAAGCCCCAUCUCGUGCCAAGCGGACUAAGCUCCCCAAACCCGAAUCCGAACCCGAGUAUUUUGAGGAUAAGCGUAACAUGGUAUUCUAUAUUCUGCUGUUCUUACUGCAAGAUUUUGUGUUGCAGUCUCUUUUGAGUCUUUAGCUAGUUUUGGUUGUCAUUUUGUUGGGGUUUCUUUAAUUUCUUAAAUGGGUCUUGAGUUCCCAAUGUUAUGAAUUAUUCGAUUCUCCAUUUUUUUUCAUUUUUCUUUUUAGUGGGAAAUUGAGCAGGGGAUAAUGUUGGUUGUGUCUAAGUACUGUAAUGGAUCUUUGUAGGUGGCAAAUUGUUUGUUGGGAUAGUUUCAUUUGCUCUUCUGGGUUUCUUGAAUGAUACAGUGUUAGAAAGUACGAGCUUCAAUAAACUUUUGUAUUUUGCUUUGUUAAUGAUUUACUUGAACUUGGAAAUGAAGUUUGUUUGUUUUUUUAAAAAUGUUUUUAGCAAGCUUUUGGACCCAGAUGGUUGUUUUCAGUAGUUUUGACGUUACCUGCAUUGGUGUUCUUUUUGGAAAAUUCGACUGUUUGUGGUUUGCGAAUUAAUAUUUUCUCUUGAUUUACGAAUAGCAAUUACUGAAUGCAGGAAGAUUUGUGGAAAGCAGCAUUUCCUGUUGGGACAGAGGUCUGGUGUAAACAACGGUGCUUGUAUCUUCUUGUCAGAAGUCUCAUUGUUCGGUUGCUUAUACGUUUAUGUGUUUUUUUUUAUUUCAGUGGGAUCAAUUGGACUCGGUUUAUCAAUUCAACUGGAAUUUCUCAAAUCUGGAAGUGAGUUUGAUAAUCUCUCACAGUCCAAUAGUGUUUUUUUUCCCUUUUUCGGUGAAUUUACUAUAAUAGGUGAUAUAACAUUUGCAAUUAUUGUCAGGAUGCAUUUGAAGAGGGAGGAAAGUUGUAUGGCGAGAAGGUUUAUCUAUUUGGUUGUACAGAGCGUAAGUAGCUUAGCUUGACUAAGAAUCUUAUUUUAUAUGUUACAAAUAUAUACAAGAUAACUUUAUCAAGGUCUACUAUGUUGUUCCAACCCCAUUCAAAAGUUCUCUCAUUACCUUUUUUUUUUUUGUAGUCUAUUUAUGUUGAUUACUGUUUUGUGCAGCUCAAUUGGUUCCUUUCAAGGGAGAAAAUAAAGUUAUAUGCAUACCUGUUGUGGUGGCUGUAAGUCAUUAUAUUUCUAUUAAUAUUUUUAUGGUGUCGGUUGUUUAUUAUUUUUAUACAUAAUCCAUACGCGAAUGCUUCUUGAAAUGUAUAGUUAGUGGGGUUUUGAUCUAGAUGGCAAGAAGGCCUUGGAACUUUUGCCUUUCCAUAUGUCCUUUUAUCUUUUCAUAUAUUUAGAUGGCAGGAUUAAUACUGAGAUUUCCUAGAAAAUACUUAUCGUUUCCUUUAUGCAAUGUCUCUUGCCUUUUGCCCUCUGUCAUGUCAAGUUAUAGUUUCUGAUAGUAGCCAUGUUAAUUCACCAACAACCGUAGAACAAAUAAAAUACCAAACUGAAAGAAAUUAUCAAUUAAUUUUUACUUUUCUCAGUUGUUACAUCCGCCGUACUGCCAUGGAAUUUAAAUCGUACAGCUAUUUGUUUUAUGGUUCUACAGGUUGCAUCUCCUUUCCCACCUUCUGAUAAAAUUGGCAUCAAUUCUGUUCAAAGAGAGGCUGAAGAGAUAAUUCCCAUGAAGCAGAUGAAAAUGGACUGGGUUCCUUAUAUUCCCCUGGAGAAGAGGUCUUAAUUUGUGAUUUUUCAUAGCAUCUUUUAGAUUCUAAAUAAGUUUUAUUAUUGAUCAUGCUAUCUAAUUCUUCUUCAGAGAUAGAAGAGUUGAUAAAUUGAAAUCUCAAAUAUUCAUCCUCAGCUGCACUCAGAGAAGGUACUAAUAUGACUACGAGCAUGACUCUCCACUUCUUUUUCGAUGUAGUUAUUAUUUUUGAAAUACUACUUCAACAAAAGUUUGUUUAUUACUAACCUUCAAUUGUUUUUCUUUACAAAUGACCUGAUGCUUGUGUAAAUAUUUUUGCAGAGCUGCUUUGAAGCAUUUAAAAAUAGAUCGUCUCAAGAAAUAUGAGUAUUGCUUACCCUGUAAGUUCUUCAACCAUUUGGUUGCUAAUUUCAUGAUUGAUAUUUUUGUUGCAUGAGAGGGGAAGAGCUGAAAGUUUUUGCGAAGAGAAAAUGAAAUAUCUCCUUGAUUAGAAAAAAUUAUCUCUAACUGUAAUUUUCUACCCAGGCAUUCUACUGAUUUUUAAUGCCAUCUAGAUAAUCUGACUAAUGGUUAUCAUUUAAGUCUAUAUAAGUUUGUCAUAUACAUACCUCAUGCUUUUUUUUCUUCCUUUUCUGGCAGACUUUUACCAACCCUUUAAGGAUGAUGAAUUUGAACAAAGCACUGAGGUUCCAAUUAUUUUCCCAGUAGACCCAAAGCCAGUAAGCUUUUAAUCCAUGCUGUUUUUUAAAAAAGGCUCAUGAAUGCAUAGUAUGUAGGGAAUAGAUUAGUUGAGCAUGAGCAUCUUUUUCACAAUCUGAAAUAUAUAUGCUCAUAUUUUCAGAUUUUGAUGCCCAUUUGGAUUAGGAUGAUCAUGCAAGAGUACUGCAAAAUCUAUAUGUAAGUUUAACAUUUUUGUUAUCUGCAGGUUUUCUGUGAAUUUGAUUGGGAAUUUGAUGAACUCGAGGUACAAGUUAUUAAUUCAAAUGACUGUCUUAAUUAUUACCUUUUAAUAGCAUAGGUUGCCGAUCGUUUCUGAAAGUUCUCUUUCACUGGAAAUUUCCCUAGAGUUUUAUCUUUAUGCUUUUUUUUUCAUGUGUCUUCAGGAGUUCACGGAUAAGUUGAUUGAGGAAGAAGAAUUAUCUGAAAGUCAAAAGGAUGCCUUCAAGGUAAUAGUUUGUCUAGUGUUGUAGCCACGUUACUGUUAUUUAUCUUUAUAAAAGCUUACCUGAUGACAGUUCUCGAUUUUUAGGAUUUUGUAAGGGAGAAAGUUAGAGAGGCCAAGAAAGCUAAUAGAGAGGUAAACGUCGUAGUCAUAUUGUUGUUAUACCUGUUUUGUAAUAAAGUUACAAUUGCAUACAUAUCUUAUUCAGUUUUCCUUCAGGCUAGGGAAGCACGGAAAAAGGCCAUUGAGGAAAUGAGCAAUGAAACUAAGGAAGCAUUCGAGAAGAUGAAAUUUUACAAGUUCUACCCUGUACAAACACCUGAUUCACCCGAUAUAUCCAAUGUUAAGGUAAGAUUAACUCUGCUUUAAGCCUCUCGGCUAAUGACAAGUGAGAAGUUCGAUCUUGAACUGCAUCUUUUUAUAAACCUCAUUUCAAUUUAUGAACAAUGCUACAAACUACCAACUAUUACAAAAUAUUAGAGAGCUUCUCAUCCUUUCCAAACCUGAACUUAAGGAAUAUGAUUUUUGAAGCUCACUCCUUAUCAGCUGACAUUCUCUAAGUACUCUUUCUAGCUCAUGCAUGGCAUAUAUUGUAUGCCUAUAGCUAUGAAUUAUUUACCUCUUUAACCAGUAAUCCAGUUGCUUUCCCUUCAUACUCAUUUAAGCUAAUACACAUUUACAACCGAGCAUGGUUGACCUAUUGGUCAAUAAAUAUCAAUGAAAAUUGUAAAUGACUAAAAAAAGGAAAGAGUUAAAGCCAUAAAUUCCAAUAUUUUAAUGAUACAUUCUCAACAAUCUCAAUAAGUAAUUUCCUCUCACAUGGUUUUGCCCUCAUUUUGCAAUGUACGCUAACAUUUAGGGCUUUCCAGGCUCCAUUUAUAAAUAGGUACUACGGAAAGGCUCAUGAAGUUCUGUGAUAUCUCAUACCAUGGCUAGCACAAGAUAGAAAUUGUUACGAAGCUCCACUUCGUUCCACAUCUUGCUCAACAUUCGAAGGUAUUGCUUCUGUUAUGCCAAAACUGAGACGCCAAUGCCUAUUGACUUCUUUUAUUGAUCUAGCAAGAAAAAAUGACGGGAUCUUGAGCAAUACCCUCCAAACUCUUUAGGUAGGCUGCUGUACUAUUUAGGAUCACGCUUUGUGUCUUCAAUCGUUUUUUCGUUCUUUUCUUAAAUUCUUAAUGCCGUUACCAGAAAAAAAGGACUUAGAAUCUCACUCACCUCUUAGUUGGAAUAUCUUGGUGUAAUUUUGUUAAUUAUUCCAUCAUUUCAGUUUUGUAUAACCAUAGUCUGAGUUCUACAACCUCCAAGAACAGACGUGUUCACUGCAUUGGUUUUUGAAGGAUAUAUAUAUAAAUAUAUAUAUACAUUGUUUACAACCUCCAAGAAUAAAUUCUUCUAUUAGUUUGUGUUUGUUUUCUUUGUUUCCUUCCUUACAACCAAAAAGCUAUCGUUACUUAAUAUCUUAUGCCCUUUUAUUCGCUUGUAUACUUAGAUCGUAGGAUUGAUUGUAGUGUUCUAUUUAUCAAAUUAGUUUUAGUGUUCCCUUACAAAUAUUAAUUUGGUGGUCUAUGUUACUCCUUAAACGUCCAAAAGCAUAUAUUAUUAACAUUUUUCUCUUAGCUUCAACGUCAAGCAUUGAUAUGGCGUUUUUUGGUAGCCUCAGUUUACCCACUUCAAGUUUUUGAAACUCUUAUACAAGAGUUACUAAUGAUGAAGAGCAUCCUCAUUUAUAUAGUACACUUGUAUAAAUAGAGGACAAUUGCAGUAGCAUCACUUUUUUAGAAUACAUCAUUAAGUGUAGAAAUAUUUUUGUAGAAUUGUAAAUAAACUGUGAUUAUUUAUAGACUUGUAUUAGCGGAAGUGAUAUGGUCAUAUUGAUGAUAGAUUCUAUGAAAUAGAUUUAAAUUUUGCUAUUUAUAAUUUCUUUUUGCUUUGUGCUAUAUUUAUAAAUGUUUCUAUGCUGUGUUCCUUUUGCAAACAUUUCAAUUUUCUCAAUAUCUAAAUACAUGCUAGAAGAUAUCACCCCUUUUCGAUCAUAAUAUUCAACCAAUUGAUUAUAAGUGAAGGACAACACAACAUGAUAAUUUUCUGAUUGUAUAAAAAGCAAGGACUUGCUAUAAGUAGAUGAAAGCUGCGGCAAUCUUUUUGAAUGAUUCUAGUUUAGUUCAAUAGUCUAUGGGGAAUUGAAGUGUUCAACUUUGAGAGAUAAGUAGUAUCAUUCACGAGUUACAUUCAUGUUUGACAUCAAUAUUAUACAAUACUUCAUUAAAAUUUACCCUUACCUAUGUUUGACAUUCAAUUGCAUGAAAAUAAUUUUAUUUUAUUUUCAUUAUUUUAGAGUGAUAUUACAAGUCAAAUAAUGAUUGAUGUUUUGAUUGGUUAAGCAAACAAUUAUAAAUGUAUGAGAUUAAACAUAAUAAAAUAUUUUCUAACCAGAAAAAGAAAAAAAAAAGAAGAGAAUUAGAAUGUGGUCAAACUACCAUAUAUUCCCAUAAUUGAUAACAAGAAAACUUAAGCAAAAACCAAGUAAGUACCUUGAGACCAAGAAAUUAAAUGUGAUUUAGAAUAAAGUCAAAUAGCAUAAUAUAUUGUGACAAAUGCCACUCUUACUUUAAAGUAUUCAUUCUAGAUUCAAAUCCCACGUCCCAUCACUUUUAUAACCAAAAGAAAAAAAAAGAAAAGAAAAACAUAAAAUAAAAAGAAAUCACUCUCUUCCUCUCUAAAUACCAUACACUAACUCAUAAAAAUGUAUUAAACUACGGUAAAAUCCUCCUUAAUUUAAUCUAAAAGUAAGAUCGAAAUUUAACCCAAAAAUAAAAAAGAAAGAAAGAAAAAACCAAUCUUUUUUCCCCCUCUUUAGCCUUUGAAGUUCAUGUUUAGAAUAUAUAUCUAUAUGAGUUAAAAUAGUGACUAUAAUUUGAAGUUUAGAGUUUAAAACUUUAUUUAUGAAUUUUUUUACUACUAUUUAUGAAGUUUUAUAAACUUAAUUCUAAUUUUGUAUAUUAAAAUUUGUAAUCACCAACCGGAGCUCUGUUGAAGAUGAGCCGCCAUGGCUCGAGCUCGAUUUCCUUCUCCAUUUUCAUGAACUCCAUUUAUAUUGAAACCCCUCAAAUUUUCCCCAAAUCCAACGCCAUCGAUUAUGUUGAAACUCUUCUGAUUUCCCUGAUUUUGAAUUUGAUUCCCCAAUGAAUAAAACCCAGAAUUGAAAUUCUGAAAAUCCAUCACCGAAUUCGCCGAUUUCCCUCCAAUAAUGUGUUCAGCGGCGGAUUUUGGCGGAGACAAAGAAGGAUCCUCUUGUCUAGCUAAAGAAUGUUUUUCUUCCUCUGUUUCUCUGUAUUUGUUGAGAUAAAUCUUCAAAGGGCCAACGUAAUUCUCGAACCCUAAAGUAGUCAUAGCCCACAGCAAAUCGUCUCCGUUGAUCGUCUUCCGUUUUUCCCUUUGACACUUGUCGGAGGCUUCCCCGGUGAUGAAGCUGAUGAACUCCGACACACAUUCUUGGACUGUUUCUUUAGCUUCUUUCGAGAUUUUCGCGUUAGCCGGAAGAGAUUUCUUCAUGAUUCGGCUCACGUUUGCGAUCGGAAGGAACCUGUCUUGUUCUUUUGUUGAGCUGUCGGAGAUGUUGCCGGAGGUGGGACUGCCAACGGGGCUGACGACAGCGGUGGUGGCCAUGAAGUUACGUUUCUGGCCGCUCAUGGCGAAUGGCGGAUGGGUUUGGCCGGGGAGGGUGAUGGAGGAGCGGAAUUCCGGUGGGGGGAUUGGUGGUGGUGGUGGAAAGUGGGUUUGUGUUGGGGAAUUUAAAGGAGAAGAGAUGAGAAAUUAAAUUAAAGAGGAAAGGCGGUUUGAUUUUGACAGAAAAAUGGGAAAAAGAGAAAUAUAAAUAAAUAUAAAUAAAUAGAGUAAGAUAAAAUGAAAUAAAUUAUUGGUGAUUAGAAUAAUGGCAAAGAAUGGUCUUCCAAGAGGUGGAAUCUUAAGCAUACAUUUUUUUGAGUUUGAGGCAAAUUUUAAUGUGAUUUGUACCCUUUUAUUCUUUACUUCAACAGAUAUAAGACUUCCAAUUCAUUGCACUUUUUAACCUUAACCAUUAACAUUUUUACUCAAUUUAUGAUUAUGUAUAAUAAACACUUUAAAUGAAUUACAAACACACUAUUAUUUUCUACAUGGAACCAAUAAUACUAUCUCUCUAUAUUGAUAAUACUUACAAAUGUUUUUGUAUUGUACUAUAUUUGCAACUAUUAUAGUCUUGAAGAGGUAUUUAGUUAAAUACAUAUUUCUUUAAUAAACUAAGGUAUUGUUUAGUGGAGUAUUAUUUAUUUAAUUAUUUUGGGUUUUAUAAAAAAAGGAAAAAAGAUGUAAAGUUAGAAUGAGGAGUUUCUAUUAUUAGUGAAGUAGUAGUAGUAGUUAGGACAUCUUUAUUCCUUUCAAGUGAUAGUAUGUUGCAGAAUUCCAUUCUUUAUAUUUGUGAUGUCUAUCUAUAAAAAGGGUACCAAAUUAAUGGACUCAUUUUAAAAUAUAUAUAACUUCCUUUUUCAAAUAAAAAAAAAAAAGAAAGAAGAAAACUUAGGUUAUAUCAACCAUAUGAUUUUGAAAAUUAAUAGCAAUGAUUAAUUUAUAUAUUUUUUUUUAUAAAAAAUGAAUUUAAUUGGUAAAUUUGAAAUGUUUUUUUUCCUCUCCAAUGAAGAAGAAUUAAUUUGAAUAACGAGAAGAACCGAUCCAAUUUUUUUAGUAACAUAAAUUUUAAAAUUUAAAUAAUUGUGGAAUGAGAUUUUUCACGAUUUUAAAAUUAAUAAAAAUGAACAUGAAUGCAUGCUUUAAUUAUUAAAAUCUACAUUUUUCUAACGUUAUGGUUUGGGUCAAGAACUUGGUUGAAAUGGCUUUUCAAACAUAAACUAUUUUUAAGUAAUUACAAAAUUAUUUCAAACAAAUUCUAAAUUUUUAAUUUUUGAAGCGUUAUAAGUUGUGAGUAUGUAAGAUUUAAAGAUAAAUACAUAAUGUCACAUUCGGUGGCAUAUAUACUUUCAAUUUCUGAUCUUAGAAGCUGUUUUUAGUGUAUAAAAUUAGGCGAAAAGAGAUUUAUAUGAUAAAGAUUUAUUUUCAAAUAAUUAAUAGUGAAUUAAUUAACUAAUUAAGAGAAGUCAUUUAAAUGACAAAUGAAAUAAGAUAAUGUAAAAGGUGGAAUAAUAAAAAGGUUUUUCUUUUGACUAAACUUUCAUCUAUGCAUGUCCAUUUCUCCUUUAUCUCUUCCAAAUUCCAACCCCAUUUCUUUUCACUUUUCAAUAACGUUUAGAAGAUGUAACGCUAUUAUACCCAUUCAUUUCGAAAAAAUAGUUUGAUGUAUUUCGAACUAUACCUAUUUUUUACUUUUUUAUACCGUAGUACUUCAAUCAAAUGUCAAUCAUAAAAUAGUAAAUAGUAAAUGCUUACGUAUCUUAAUUUUUCCUUCAAAAAUUGGAAGCAACGGAUUAAAAUAAAUGCAAACUAGACUUAUCUUGACUUAAUCUAAUUACCACAAUCUCUCUAUGGUAAGUUCUAUCGAAUCAUAGGUAUGUCACAUCAAUAUUUAAGUAAUAGUAUUCAUUCACGAGACUAAAGAAUGUUUAAUUAUAUAUAAUUGAAGUUUAUUAGGAUUUUGGACAUAUUUGGAAUGAUUCAAACAUUUGAAUAACCACAUCAACAUAAUUACUCAAUUAGUGUAGACAUAUAGUAUCAAAUCAAGAUGUUAAAAGUAUGAAUCUCCCAACUCUAUGAUUAUUUAAAUACUUUCUUUUUUCUUUUUUCUCUAGAUCAAUGUGUGGACCUUAAUUAAUAUUUAAUAUCAUCAACGGUUUGACACGACCUUCUUCUCUAGAGGUUGAAGUUCAAUCUCGUAGAUGCGUUGUACUAAAAAAUGAAAGAGUAGAAAGGAUGUGAGUGAGUGUAUCCAUAUGUGUGUGUGUGUGAGAUUUGGUUUAAUUAAAAGAGAAAUGUCAAAGGGAUUAUUCACUUUAUGAGUUUAGGUGACAAAUUUGAUGGAUCUAAAUGGUUCAUCCAAAUUGGUGGGGGCCGAAAAUUCUUAUAUUCAACAUAUAAAAAAUGGUUCUCUUAGCUUUGAUUUAUUGGAGAUUAUUUAUACACGAAAGGUUUGAAAUGACCAUUCCUCUUUUUAUCAUUAUAUCUAACUUUCUUUCACGUUAUUAUUUUAGGUAUUUUGUUAUGCAGAUUUCUGUUAUUUUUUGGACUGUUUUCUUAGAGAAGGAAUCAACCCCAUUUAAGGUAGGUUUAAUGGGAUAAAAUUCAAAGGAUAUAUAUAUAUAUAUAUAUACACACAUACAUAUAUAUAUAUAUAUAUCAAUGAAAAAAGAGAAAUUCUUAAUUGUAUUAUUUAUUCAUUUUGAAGUUUUAACUUAGCAUUUUAAAAAGAAUUAGAGGUAAAAAAUGAAGAAUGAAAUCUCAAACUUAAUUAUAUAUUUAUUUUAUAUAUAUAAAUAUAUAAUAUAAAUUCAUACAAACAAUCAAAUCUCAAACCUAAUUAUAUAUUUAUUUUGUAUAUAAUAUAUAAUAUAAAUUUCCAUAACAUAUAUUAAUAUAUUUAUAGGGUCUUUCUUCCACUAGAUUAAAAUUCAAACAUAUUUUAAAAAAUAGAGAAAUUGACAAACUAUUUAUACUAUGUAGAACAAAAAAAAAUCAAAUAAUCAAAUAAAUAUUUUGUUAAAUAUGGAAAACUUUACUAAAAUUUAUAUAAUUGAAAGUGCUACUAAAAUUAUAUUAUUUUAAUCUUUUCCUCUUGAAAAAACAAAUAAAAUAAUCUUUAAAUUUUCAUUUAACAUGUAAUUGAAUGGGAUAUUCGUAUCUAUUUAAUCUUUAUUAUUACUUUUAUUUUUAUAAAGAAAACACUUUACAAUUUACAUUAGGUUUUGUUUUGUUAAGCUAAGUUUGUCUCGAUCUUUAGAUUUGGCCAAAAUAAUAUCUUAAAGACAAUUUUUUUAUAAUUGAGUUUGAUGUUAACCGAUAAGACAUUGUAUUUGUUUCUUAGAGAUGUAUGCUCUUGUUAGGGUAAUUGAUCUCAUAGGAGAUCUUAAUAGGUCACAAAGUUUAACUGGAACUAUCAUUUUAGUGUUGGAAAUAAGAUAAGACAUGAAGUGUUUGGAAAGUAGCAUGAUGUAUUCUUAUAUUAUUUAAGAAGAAUGUAAUCAUUAAUUUAUAGUAUACGAUGGUGUAUACUUUAAAUACAAUAAAAAAGAACAAAAUGUAUUAUUUAUUUAUUAAAGAAAGGGGAUGUAAAAGGAACCUUAUGGUUUGAGAAAUGUUGAGAGAAUUGAAAUAAUGAGUGUACUUAAAAAUACUUACAUGCUAAUUCUGUCCUUUUGGAGACAUUGGUAUAUUUUAGAAAAGCUUUUGGUUUACUAAUUAUAUUAUAUACCAAAUGUUUCCUACACAAAAAAUAUAUAUAUACACAAUAAAAAUUAUAUUAUACCAAAUGUUUCCUCAUAAAAUUAUAUAUAAUACAAAAUGGAAAUGGAAUAGUAUAAUCAACUUUGUACGGACCAAAAAAGGAGGAUACAAAUUAAAGAUCACCAAACACUCACCCAAUUACUUCUACUUCACUUUUCUCUCUUUUCUCUUUUCCCUUUUUUCUUUUUCUAAAUUUUAUUUUAUAUUACUGUGACAAAUUAAUAAAUAAUAUAUCUAAAAUUUAUUUAAUUACAUAUAAAAAAAAACAUACAAUAGCUACUAAUAAAGUUGGAUGAUUAAAAUAAAAGCUACCUAAUUUUUUGUGAUUAUUAUACUUUAGUUCUCAAGAUUCUUUUUGGACCUUUGUGCUUUAGUCCUAAUUUCGCCUCUUAAAUGUCCUAUUUUUCAUUAUAGUUUCUAUAUUAUUUAAAAACAUUCCAAUUCUUAGUUAAAAUUUACGUCUUAGUUUAAAUGCGGAUAAAAAAAAAAAAAAAACUCAAUUUAAAACCUAACACUUUUAUAAGUAUUUGAAUUUUUAUUUUUGAUUUUGAAAAAAUUAAACAUUUUUUUUUUACAUUUUCUUACGUUUGAUAUCACAUGAAUCUAAAUAGUUACCAAUACAAUAAAAUUUUGAAAGUAUAAAUCUAAAAAUUGAAAUGUAGGUUGAAUUUAAACUUUAAAAAGUUAUAAGGUAUAAUUUAAAUCUAAAACGUACUACUAAAUUUUAAACAUAUAAAAAACUUUGAUAGGUGAUAAAUAGAGAUUAUAAUAAUCACGUUGACAAGUAAUUCAAGCUCAUUAUUAUAUAUAUAUAUAUAUUUAAUUAUUGUAAAUAUAGGACAUUUAAAUAAGUAAAUCAAUAGAAUUUCUUAAAAAUAAUUAGUAACAUAUAUACUUUUAAGAAAUAAAAGCCAUGUCAACUUUAAAAAGUUUUGCCUUAUGAAUGAAGCAUACAAAUUAUAAGUUUGAUAAACAUCAUUUGAAACUUUUGUACUUGUUUAUUCUCUUCUCUAGAUUCUUAUAUACUUAGUUGCUUUAAAGCUCAACUUCACAUUUUUAAUCUUGAGUAGUUUUAUUUAGUUACAAUACAAACAAAAAUUUAAAACUUCAACACGUUAUCGAAGAUGGAGGAUUUUCCUAUUUUCUCUCUCGUAAUAGUAGAUUUUAGGGGUAUACAUGGGUUUAACAACCCAUUUGAAUCUUUCGAGGUAGCCAAACUAACUAGUUCGAAGGCCUUGAUACGUCUCCAAACUGGAACCAUUAAAUAUCUAUGGUAUUUAUUACAGGUUUUGAAGGAAGAUAUCAAAUUAAUUAGUUUUAAAAACAAAAACAUAGAAGAGUUACAAAUUCAUCCAUUUAUGUAAUUCAAGUUAUUGAUUUUAAAUACUUCUAUUCAACAUAAGAUCUUUACCGUCUCAACAAAAGUAGAAAAAUACUCAAAUCAAAAACAAAACUAAAUCAUCCGAUUCAUUUGAACAUUUUAUUAAAAAAAAAUAUCUUUAGUGAAUUUUGGUAUUGAAUAGGGUUGUGACAGAUGGCAAUAUUUAAGCAUAUCUAUUGUACUAAUUUAAUCAUUUAAGUAAUUAAUACCCAAAUUAAACAACCUUUGAAUUUGUCUCUUCCUCCCUGUCUCCUUGAUUUAUUAUAAUUAUACUUUAAUGUACAGAUUGAUGUACUGAUUUCCUCCUUUUUUUUUUCUUUCUUUCUUGUAAACUCAUAUAAUUCUAAAUUAAAAUUACAAAAGUCAGGGUUGACAAAGGAUGGAAAAAUUUAAAAGUCAAUAAUGUGAUUAAUUAGUAUUAUAACUAAUAAUUAUAUCAUCUAAGUUUGACACACACAUUGUUUAAUGAUAAAGUAUUACCUAAAUAAAGUAUAUAAUAAAAAAUUUAAUACUAGCAAGCAUAAUUACUCAACAAAUUAAAAUAAAAGAAAUACACACAAUUACAAAAAUGAAGUUGUAUCAAUUCAAACCGUGUAAAGAUUAAAUUGUCAAGUUUAACGACUAAAUUAAAUUGUUAUUUCUCUUCGUGCGUGUAUAUAGAUAGUAUCCCAAUUGAACAUCGAAAAUUUGGAAUCACAUCAUUCAAACAACUCUUUGAAAUUUAAAAUUGAAAUCACAAUUUGUAAUAGUUAUGACCACUCUAUAUUUAAGAUUAUAUAUAUAUAUAUAUUUAGAGAGAAUUCAUACUAAAAUCUAGGCGUAUUUAAUUUCAACAAUGAAUUUCAAAACUAUUAUUAUAUAUCUAUGGCAAGUUUUAAAGUAAGAAUAGAAAAUUUAAAAAAUCGUACAUUUGGCAAAGAACUGAAAUUUAUGUUCCACUAUGCAAUUUCCAUUGCUGAAAAUAUUAAUUGAAAGAAAAAAGGAAACUGAUUAUAUAUAUAUAUAUAUAAAAGAAAUUAAUUUAUUGGUAAAAAUGCAACAAAUUUUAUACAUUUAUUAUAAUUUCUUAUGCCCAUUGGAAUAAAGAGGAGAAAAUUGCAGGCCUUUCUCUAUUUCCAUUUUGUUUUGUUUUUUAAUUUAAUGUUUUUCAUGCAAGUUGAAAUUAGAUAUACAAAUAUCCAAAAUAGUCUCUCAUUAUAUAAUUUAUAAAAUUGUGAAAGCUAUUUUUACAAGAAAAUAUGAGAAUAUAUAAAAUAAUAUUCGUCGGAUAAUUAGUCAUCAAAUCAAUGGCCGUACAAUAAUGUAUAUACACACGUAUAUAUUUUAAAUACAUAAAUAAAUUGCCGGCUUAUUUGGGUAGUGAUGGUAACUCAUAUUUAUUUUAAAUAAUGCCAAUUUUAAAAAUAUUUAUAAAUAUACUAAAAUAUUGCAUACAUGGGUUACAUAUUUAAAUACUGAUAAUCAAAUUUUACUAUAUUUAUUUAUUUGAGUUGUUUUAAGAAGAAUUUUUAAAAAUAAUAGAUUUUAUAAAAUAUUUAGAAUCCAUACAAAAUUUUAUCUGAUAGUCAUUGACAUGCUAUAGUGAUAGAAGACUUUUAGUAAUAGAAUCCAAAAUUUUGCUAUAGUUCGUAAAUAUUUUAAUUUAUUUUACUAUUUUUAAAAAUGUUCUUUUUAUGAAUUGGGUGAAGAAGUUUAGAAAUAAGUAUUUUGUGAUUAAUAUUUAAUUAAAUAGUUUAGAGUAACUUAAAAAUAGCAAAAUAUUGAAUCUAUUUGCCAACUAGAGAAAAAUUGAUUCAACUCUUCCUCUAUUUAAGUUUUUUCGAUUUAUCUGUUAUUAAAAAUUCCUAAAUUAUUCAAAUUUAAGAUUUUUUUUAUGAAUUUUUAUUUUUAAAAACUGAAUCUAUUUCAUAUCAAUUUCUCAUAGUUUUUUUUUUUCUUUGUAGGGAUGAUUCUUUCUUGAUCACUUUAAUGUUUAGCAACGCAUCCCUGCAAAUCAAUAAAACCUAAUCAUUUGCUUACCUUAUAGUUUAACUACAAAAUUUUAAUGGUAAUUGCAUGGUGCAAUUCUAAAAGAUUUCUACAAUAUGGUUUUGCAGAAGAUAAUUUGUACAGAAUAGUACUAAAAAUGAUAAAAAAUUAUAACAACCUGUAAAUAUUUUGUCAAUUUUGUUAUUUCUUAAUAUUUUUAUUUAAAUUAGAAAACAAUAUUUUAAAAAAAGAAAUACACUAAACCUCCUAACCAAUUCAUAAAUAAAUUACUCAUAAUAAAAAGAGUUGGAAUUUGAUGCUCACAACGGUAAUUUGAUCAAGAUGAUAUGAGUUUCCACUGAUCACAAGUGAAAACAUUAAGAAAAUAUUUUUUUUGUAAUUUUAAAUAAUUAAGUUUAGAAAAAUUUUAAAAAGAAAAGUUCACGUGAAUAGAAGAAAAUGAUAAGUUUUUACCUAGAUACUUUAAAGCUUGAAGUAAAAUUUUAGUUAUUUAUUUUGAGGUUAGAUUAAAAUUUCGUGGGCUGUAAAUAUAUAGUUGGUUAAUUCUUCUAUUUUUAAAAAUCUCCACUUAAAAAAUAGUAGUAAUUUAAUUUAAUUUUAAUAAAUUUAUUUAUUUUUUAAAAAAACUAUAACAAACAUGUCUACGUCUUUUUUAUAAAAAUAAAAGUCUACUUAAUCAAUCCCACUAUAUCAUCAUUAGGUCAUGUCCCUUUUUGAUUAAGAGGUGCUAACCUAAAUAAAAGUCGAUAAUAUUAAUUAAAAAUUAAUCUAUAUAAAGGUAUAGAUGAGAAUAUAUAUAUAUUUUUCCAAAUGUACCCAUUCACUAAAAGAAUUUUCAUUUAUUCAUUUUUAUUGCAAUUUUGUUUUUAAAUAUAAAUGUUCUUUCAUUUGUUGAAAGACUCCAACUCUCUAAUCAAAUAAUAUGUUUCAAAUGUUGACAUUUUUUAAAUAAGUAGACUUCCAAAUAUAGAAGUUUUGAAGAUACACAAAAAUGUUGGUAGAAAAAAAAAAUAAAAAAAGUCUUAUAUAUAUAUAUAUAGUAGAAAAAAAGGUUACAAAUUUUUUUCAAUUUUUGGGCUUUAAAUUUGCAUUGUUAAUUAGAAUUAAUAAGAUAUUUAAUUUUUAAUUAAUUUCUAAGAUGUAAAUGAAAAACCAUUUGCAUUCCAACUUUUCAUAUCCUCCGUCUAUAAUUAAUUCAAAAUGUAGUUGAUAAAUGAAAAAUCAUUUGCAUUCCAACUUUUCAUAUCGUGCAUACUUUAAAUCUACUAAACUUAAAUAUAAUUAAUUCAAAAAGCAGUGGAGGAGGGCGAGUCUUUUAUAAUUAUUUAUAUUAAAAAAACAAAAUUAAAAAUGAAUUUACCAUAAAACUAAAAAGUGAUUUGGACAUAGAACUAAGCUCAAUAAUAUAAUGAAGAGAAAAAAGUUUCUCCACAUUUUGACUCUUAUAUAUACUAUAGAUAGAUGUAGAAGUCUUAUAUUUUCGGUUUUAACAUAAUUAUUCUAUACUUGAUGUCGUUUCUUUACGAGAAUAAAAAACGGGCAUGUGUUAAUUAUCUAAUUAAAAUAAAAGACUAAUUUAAUAAUUCAAAAAUUAAGUUUGGAAAAGUUAAUAAAUAAAGUGAUUUAUUUCCAUUCACAAUUUCAGCUUUGUUUUAUAAUCAAUACUAUUUGAUCUUUUAGCUUUUUAUUUUUAAAAAUUAAACUUAUAAAGGGAACUUUCAAAUUCAAAUUUUUGUUGAAAGAGUCUUUUUACUUUGAGAAAUUUUCAUUUUAAAAUUUAGUGUUUUUAUUUGAGAAUUAUUUAUUUCAUGUAUGUAAUUUAUGAACUUCUUAUAUCGUUAACACAUGUUUUAGGUUGUCUCAAGUAUGCUCAUUUUAAUCUUUUAACUCACUUUUAGUUUGAAGAACAAAUGUCAAUUCAAUAAUUUCACAUUUCUUCACUCGACAGAACUUUUGGACCCGAAUUCAAGACAUAAUAUUUUGCCUAAUAAUGCUAGAGAACUAGAAAAGCAAUGUCAAAAAAUCCCAAAAACGAAAGAAUAAUUUAUCUAUAUGCUGAUAGACUUUAUAUACUUUCAACUCAUAUAACAUCGAGUUACUAACCAAGACUUGAUUAUUAUACUUGUUACCAUGAUCUGCAUAAUACCGAAGAAUAAAAACACCAUCAAACUUUGCAAAAUUAUAUAAAUAAAUUGUUUUACCACUUCGUCUUAUGUUUCAAUACACUUUCCUCCAAAUUCUCAAAUAUUUUCUCACUCCUUUUUUCAAAGUAACCACACCUAUUUAUGUUACUUUUUACUUUAACGUGUAAAUAAUUUGUUAUAUGAAGUGUAAAUGGUUUAUCAAUUUUUGAAAAGGUUUGUAAAAUGAAUGUAAAAUCUCCAUUCUCCAGCAAAGAAAAAGAGAUCUCAUGCAUAUAUAUAUAUAUAUGCUAGACUAUAAGUAUAGAUAUAUAGGUAUCCACUAAAUUUUGAAGAGGAAAAGAGAGAAGAAAACAUGAUAAUAAUGAAAAGGAGUGAUUAGAUGAGAGGUUAGGCGUGAAGAUAUGAAGAAAGUGGAGCCAAAGCACUAGAAAUUGUCCCAUUAUUACAAGCUAUGGGUCCCAAUUAAGGAGGUCGUCAUGAUUGGAAUUUCAUCAUCACUAUCUUUCAAAAUUUCUAUUUCUUUUUUCUUUUCAUAAACAAACCAAAUACAAUUUUAAUUUCUCUACUUUGAAUUGAAAAAUAUUAAAAAAGAUAAAGUUAGAUAGAUACAGAGAUUAAUCCAUAUUUCAAACUUAAUUACUAAUUUAAAUUUACUUAAUAUUUUUAUAGUUUUUGUAAAAAUAUAAAUUAAAACAAACAUUUUAAAUCGAUAUUUCUACUAGUGCUAUUAGGAGGAAUUUAUUAUUUAUUCUUUUCUCCAUUAGCUAUCGAUAUUAUUUAUUUAUGCAUAUCUAAUAUUAAAAUUCAACUAAAAAUACAAACAACUAAAAUUGAAUAGUGUUCAAAUAUAGAGCCCUUGUUUUCAAAAUGAAACAAGUAGAAACUAUUGUAGCAAUUAAUAUCAAUGUUGAUGAUAUUAAUAAAAAGAAUUAUAAAAACAAAAAGAAUUUAAAAAAAAUUAAAAUUAACUACUAACUAGUAAAUAAUUAUUGGACACUUUCUUUUAUAGAAAUACAUUCUAACUUUUUUUAUACAAGUUUGAACAAUUUAAUUCAUCCUAGGAUUAAUCUCUGUGGUAUACUUAUUAGGAUGAUUAUAAAUGUGAGAAUGUUAAUAAAAUUGUUGAUAUUGGGAGGAAAAUUGAAUAGCAUGAUAAUAAGAAAUUAGAAGGAGAUUGGUCAAAUAUUUUAGCGCAUGCUUAUUGUUUUUAUUUUGCUUUAUUUCACUCUUUGGGUCCUACCAACCCCUAAAAGUCCUUCUUUCACUUUAUUGAUUGUUUUUUUUUCCUUAACAAAAAAGAGAAAGAAAAAAAGUUCAAAUUACUUUAUGAUUUUGUAAAAAUCCAUGAAUAAAGAUGCUAUUAUGCCCUUUGAUAAUGAUUGUUUUUUCUUUUAUAAUACUAUUUUUGGACCACGAAAUGGUAAAAUAUUGAGAAUGGAGACACAUAGCCCAAAUGAAGUUACAUAAUUUGACUUCACAUGUUGAAGAAAAAGUGUUAAAUUGCUAUUAUAUUUUGAGAAUUGUUUGUUUGUUUUUUUUAUUAAGUAAUAAAUUUUUAUUGAAAUUUUAGAAGUUCUUAAUAGAAUCCUAGGUGGCAAAGUGGGCUCCACUUGGCGUUCUCUCACCGUUGACUAAGAAACAAAAAGUUUUGGUUAUGUUUUGCUUUGGCCUACUCGGAUUGGCCACGUGGGUCCCACCAACCAAAAUCAAAACCCACACCUGCUGAAAGCAAUUCCCUUUUCCACUUCUCACUCUUUCACUUUGAACUUCUCAAAAAAGCAAUUCACAGAGAACCGAAAACCAUAUGAAAAGAAUGGAAAAACAAACAAUACCAACCCAUUUCCUUUCUGGGUUCUUCUAAGUUCACUCCCAUCUCAAUCACAAAACCUCAAAACUCCACCUUCUUUCUUCUUCUUCUUCUUCUUCUUCUUCUUCAAUGACGGUCUGAUGCUUCAUCUCUGUUUCUCUUUCAUCUUCUCUUAACGGGUUCUUUCCAUUGCCGGGGACUGGGUCAGAUUUGUACUCUUUUUGUAAUGUGGGUGUGGCGGCUCGGCGUCGUGAAGUUUCGUGAAAUCGCCUCACGUUUUGGAGGGAGGAGAUAUGAUGAAACGGCUAAAUGGGGCUUUGGUUUUGCUUUGGUUCAUCUUUGUUGGACAAUUUUGUUGUACCAAUGUCUCUGCAACUGUAGAAGGUGAUUCCCAUUUCCUUUUCCUACUGAUGUUGCUUGUUGUACUUGUGUAGAUGAAAAGGGUGUGUCAAAGAUCAUCAAUGUUUUGGAACUGAGACCAUGGGUUGGCCUAACGGUAAAUAAAUCAUAUGAGUUUGAUAAUGGGGAUUUAUUAUCUAUGGCGUUUCGUUGACGUAUAAAUAUUGCAGGGUGAAGUGGGUUGUCCUAUGAGAUUAGUUGAGAUGCCCAUAAAUUGUCCCAAUGCUUCAGACUGUAAACAAAAACGUUUUGGAACAGAAUUCUUUUGGGCCAAUUUACUUCUCUGCCUAAGGCUGUUAUCUCUUAAUAUUUUUCAUUUAAGUGGUGGUUUUGAGAGCUUAAUGGGUUGCCAUAGUGUAAAAUAGGUUGAGACGAGAAGCAUACUUUAAGGUAACAUUUUGAUAUUUUUAGAAAUGCAGUGAUUGAGCCUUGUGUUCUAACUUCCCAAAUACAACUGUCAUUUUUCAUUUUGUAUGCUUGAAUUUUAUUGUUAAAUUCGGUGAUAUUCUGUCUCAUUAUUGUAUUAUAGAAUUCUAAAAAGUUGUGGAUGUGAUCUCUUUUCUCUUAUUCAGCUUCUGUUGAAUUUGACAAUGUGUUCUUUCUAUUCUAAACAGCUACUGUUCUGCAUAUAUUUCGAUUGAAUUUGGAAGAUCCAAACAAUGUUCUGCAGAGUUGGGACCCUACACUGGUCAAUCCCUGCACUUGGUUUCACGUCACUUGCAAUAAUGAAAAUAACAUUAUAAGAGUGUAAGGGACAUCAUUUGUUCGUUCAUUUGUUCUCGGGCUAUGUAAACUUUGGUCAAUGUCAUACAAAAUUUUACAACUUUCGGCACUCUUUGCAGUGACCUUGGAAAUGCUGGAUUGUCUGGCAAAUUAGUACCACAGCUUGGUCAACUUAAAAGUCUUCAAUACUUGUAAGUCAUUGUUUGCUGUAAACUUGUUUGGACUUCAAUUCCUAUAGCAUAAGCAGUUGUAAUGGUGACUUUUACCUGCAUGUAUUGUUCUUCUCUAAGUUAAAUGAUUUUAAUUGAUUACAGGGAGCUUUAUGGUAACAACAUAAGUGGAGAGAUUCCAGAUGAUCUCGGGAACCUAGAAAAUUUGGUGAGCCUAGACCUUUACUUGAACGGUUUAACUGGCCCGAUUCCAGACACGUUUGGCAAGCUCACACAAUUGCGUUUCUGUAUGAAUAUUAUACAUCCUUUCUUUUCUCUUCUUUGUGAUAUGUUACUUGACAUCUUUUGUGCUUUUACUUUCAUUGAAUGAGAACAUGCUUCCCUAGAGGCUUGACUCAUUCAUUGUGUGUUUAUGCAUUAUCUUUGAACCAUACACAUUCUUCCCUUUAUGUAACUUAUGGGUGUUUUCUCUUGGUAUAUCUUUGAAUGGAUAGUCGGCUGAAUGACAACAAACUAUCUGGCUUGAUACCGAUUUCCUUGAUAAAUAUUUCCACCCUACAAGUCUUGUAAGCAUUUACACUAUCUUUUCUUGCUCUAAGGUUCAAUUUUGUUGGAAGUGAAAGUGAGAAUAUGAGUUGAAAUAGAGUGGCUAUAACGUAGUUUAAACAUCAUUCGCAGGGAUCUAUCGAACAACCUUCUAUCUGGAAAAGUUCCAAAUAAUGGCUCAUUUUCACUAUUUACUCCCAUAAGGUAUUUUGCUUAUAAAUUACACAUGAAGUUUCUUCUGGAUCGAUGUUAGCUGAUCAGAUACUAACUGCUAUCGUACUGUUUGUAGUUUUGCAAAUAACUUGGAUCUAUGUGGUCUGGUAACUGGGAAACCUUGCCCUGGGAUCCUCCCUUUUCUCCACCGCCGCCAUUUGUUCCACAAUCAACAGUUUCUUCCCAUGGUAUUAUCUGGUUAGAAAGAUUAUUGAAAUAGGCAAUUGUUCUAGUACUCUACCACAACAAAUUGUUUAAUGGAAUACUUCAUCUCACAAUUUGGUGCAUAUCAUUGACAUAAGUAACUUCACUUGGGUUUAAAUAUACAUUGUGUUUGUUGAACCUAACAAGUGAGGUUAAUUCACAUUUAAGAAAUGAGUUUCUAUGAACUUCUCCAUUGUAGCAUUAACUUAUCUUUGACUUUGAGAAAGCUUAAAAUAUGUUUGGUUUCUCUCCAGAAUUAAACAAUCCCAAUGGAGCAAUUGUUGGAGGAGUUGCUGCAGGUGCUGCUUUACUUUUUGCUACACCGGCUAUCAUAUUUGUCUAUUGGCAUCGGAGGAAAUCACGAGAAAUAUUCUUCGAUGUCCCUGGUUUGUCUCUGUUGCAAAAGAUUCACUUUUACCUUUUUUUAGCUUGCAAGUCACCAUGGCUUUGUUUAUGCAGCGGAAGAGGACUCAGAGAUCAACUUGGGGCAGCUGAAGCGGUUUUCUCUGAGAGACUUACAAGUUGCAACAGAUAACUUCUGCAACAAAAAUAUUCUUGGUCGAGGUGGAUUCGGUAAAGUCUAUAGGGGACGUUUGGCUGAUGGCUCGUUAGUAGCAGUAAAAAGGCUCAAAGAAGAGCGUACGCCAGGUGGGGAGUUACAAUUCCAAACAGAAGUAGAGAUGAUUAGCAUGGCAGUGCACCGAAAUCUUCUGCGACUACAUGGAUUUUGUACAACAUCGAGUGAACGCCUCCUUGUUUAUCCUUAUAUGGCCAACGGAAGUGUUGCAUCAUGUUUAAGAGGUACAAUUUCUUGUUUUUCCUUGAAAAUGUUAGAAGUUUCAAGCUCAAGUUUUUUCUAUAACUUUUCUAGUGUAUCUUCAAUCUUGUUACAUUAUGUAUUUUAUUUAGUUUUGAUAUGAAAUCAAAACUAUCUUAUCCACAUCUUUGUUAAUUGGCAAAGCCACUUUUAUUACAAACUCAUAAUGUAGCUAGCAUAUUUUUCAUAGAACGUCCACAGUCUGAAGCUCCUCUCGACUGGCCAACUAGAAAGAAAGUUGCAUUAGGCUCUGCGAGAGGUCUUUCUUAUUUACAUGAUGGAUGUGAUCCAAAAAUCAUCCAUCGUGAUGUGAAGGCUGCAAAUAUUCUACUAGAUGAGGAAUUCGAGGCUGUUGUGGGUGAUUUUUGGUCUUGCAAAGUUAAUGGAUUACAAGGAUACUCAUGUUACAACAGCAGUAAGAGGUACAAUUGGGCAUAUAGCUCCAGAGUAUCUCUCAACUGGGAAAUCAUCUGAAAAGACUGAUGUCUUUGGUUAUGGCAUUAUGCUUUUGGAGCUAAUAACCGGACAAAGGGCUUUCGAUCUUGCUCGACUGGCAAACGAUGAAGAUGUCAUGCUGCUUGAUUGGGUAUAAACUCAGGAUUUUUCUUUUUGCAAAGUCUACUAACUUAGCAGCUCUCAACAGUUUUUUCUCUAACCACUCUCGUUUUGAUUACAAACUUUUCAGGUGAAAGGGCUUCUGAAAGAGAAAAAGUUGGAGAUGUUGGUUGAUCCUGAUUUGAAGGAGAACUAUGAUGAGAUUGAAGUUGAGCAAAUAAUCCAAGUAGCACUUCUCUGCACACAGAGCUCGCCUAUGGAACGACCCAAAAUGUCUGAUGUGGUGAGAAUGCUGGAAGGAGAUGGGUUGGCUGAGCGAUGGGAGGAAUGGCAGCGAGUGGAGGUAGUUUACCAUGAAACAGAAUUGACAUCUUCUCAAACUUCAGAAUGGAUGGUUGAUUCGACUGAAAACGUUCGUGCUUUUGAAUUAUCUGGUCCUAGAUAACUAAACAGUUUGAUAGAAACAAAAUGUCAUCAUUCCUUCUUUUUUUCUUCUUUUAUUUAGAGUGCUCACUUUUUGCUUCACAAAACCUGUGUAUAUGAACACCUUGUUAGAGCAAUAUAUUACGUAUACAUAGCUUCAUUUUCAUAAUUCUUCUUUCUUCUUCACUUCAUUUCAGUUAUUCACCAAGUCUUGAAAGUUUUUAAGCAUUAAAAUAAAAUGAUCAUUUGUAUCAAACUAUAGACACAAACUUAAAACCAAAAAACUUAGUAGACAUUUUCAAAUUUUAGAAGCUUACGUUAAAAGUAAUGAGUUUUGAAAUUUCACCCUAAUAAAAGAUAAAUUCUAACUUAUCAAAUUUAUAAUUUAAUUUUCUUUUCAAUGUAGGAUAAGUUACAAAACUAUGAUUACAAGAUAAUGACUAAAUUUUAAGAAGAAAAAAAAUGAAGUUUGGCUAUGUAAUAACCAUUUUUCUUUUCAAACUAACCUUAUUUUCUCUCUAACUUGUCAUAAUGAUUUAUAAUUUUUUUAAUUUUAAAAUCCUAAAAGGUUUUUAAAAUUUGUAUCUUCAUCUCUAAGUUUUAAAAAUGUAAAUUUUGGUGUGCAGAUUUUUUAACAAAAACUUAUUUUGAUCUUUUCGUUAGAACUACGUUAUCUUAACAAAAUGUUAGAGUGACACUUCUAUAUUUGGAUGAGUUGAGCGAUCAAGUAACUUCUCUAAACGUAAUCAAACACUAACAAUCAAAUAAACUCAAAUUAAAAAAUUAAAAUUGUUUUUUUCUCAAAAUUUAAAUCUCUCACAUCCUCUCUUGUCUCUCUCACAUUGUUUUUCAAAUUGAAAUCUUGAAGCAAAUUAGAAGAACAUUAAGUAGAAUAAAAAUAAAUAAAACCGACAUAUUAACGUGCUAAAAUCUCUAACAAGGUAAAAUAAAUUAGAAAAUAAAACAAAUAUAACACAUUAAUAAAAUAAACUCUAUAAAAUUACAUAUCAAUAUUCCUACCAUGAAUCAUGAAACCAAAAAAAGAAAAGGAGAAGAAAGAAUUGUGAAGAAGAGAACAAAAAGGCAUAUCAAUGAAUCACAAGAUACAUCACGACUAAACAAUUUGUAUGAGAAUAAAUUUGUAUGUAUGAGUUGAGAAAUGAACUAAAAUGUCAUCCUCGUCAUGAUUUUGUUAUAGAAUUUUUUUUUUAAAGAAAUUUACAUGGACCAAAAUAGAAUUUAAAUGUUUUUCGUCAACUAUUGUUUAGAAAACUAAUUUUUAGCUCUCGAAAUUUAAAGAAAUUUAGAGAAGCUUAACUUUUGUUUUUUGUGAAAUAGUAUAUUAUUAUGAUUUUUUCAAACAAGCUUAAUUUUUUUUUAAAAGAAAAAAAAAAGACGAAAUGGGGCUAAAUUUGUAAUUUAAACUUUUAGAAAAGUUGAAUCGGAGAAGAUGAGGGAUGGAAGCGACGGAGAGAAGAAAAACGGGAGAAGCUUUUGAGAAACGCCGCCUCCUUAAACCCUAAAAUUUCUAUGCUUUUCAGCUCUUAAAUUAAAUGUACGCUAUGUAUCCAUCAUUCUCUGUUUGUGUUCCCUCUCCCCUUAAUCCUCCUUUCUUCCUCCGACUAAUUCAUCCAUUCUUGUUUUCUUUCUUCUCUUCUUCUUCUUCUUCUUCUUCUUCUUCUUCCCACUCCCAACCACCCUCUCAUUCCUAUGGAAUCGUCCUCCAAUACCUCAUCGAUACCUUCCAACUCUCCCCCGCCAGAGCCGUCUCCAUUAUGGCAACCCGUAGAGGCAUUCAAUCAACUGAAAAGCCUCGUUCCGUUUACAAAUAUCUUUCGGACCUCGGAUUAUCCGACACCCAAAUUAAAUCAGCCGUUCGAAUCACACCCCAAAUCGCGUUUUCCAGCAUUGAGAAAACACUGAAGCCAAAGAUCGAGUUCUUACAGAAUCUUGGCUUUGUUGGCUCAGAUUUGAGUAAGUUCAUUUCCAGGCAAUCUAAAUUUUUUUCUUCUAGUUUGGAAAAGACAUUGAUGCCCAAUGUUGAGAUUCUUAAGAAUGUUUUGCCCAAGGGUACGUGUAAUGACGAUCUCCCGAAAGUUUUGCGGCGAUGUUCUGAUGUACUUACGAGAUCCCCGUAUAAAGUGUUGUCUGUAAAUAUCAAUUACUUACGAAGUUGUGGGAUUGUUGACUAUCAACUCUCUACGUUAUUGAAGCGACAACCUGCACUUUUUAUUAUGCAUGAAUCUCGACUUAAAGAUUUUGUUUCAAUGGCUGUAAAGGCUGGGUUUUCUCCCAACGGUACAAUGUUUAUUCAUGGACUUCAUUCUAUCAGUAGUAUAAGUAAUGCAACUUAUAAGAAGAAAGUGAAGCUGAUUUGUAGUUUUGGAAUAACUGAGAAAGAAUGUAUGAGAAUGUUUAAUUCGGCUCCUGUUUUGAUGAGGACUUCCGUUGGUAAACUUGAGGUUGGUCUAGAAUUCUUCAUGAAUGAGGCAAAAGUUAGCAAAUCAGAUAUUGUUCGUAAUCCUUUUUGUUUGAUGCACGCAAUGCAUGGAAGGGUGCUCCCUCGUUAUAGAGUUCUAGAGGUUCUGAAGUCGAAGAGGCUAACGAAGAAGCUCCCGAAGUUGAUCGAUUCAUUGUGGAUGCCUGAUGAGGAUUUCUUAGAUAAAUUCGUUCGUAGGUUUCCUGACAAUAUGAAUGAUUUGUUUGAGGCCUUUAGAGGUAAUUCGAGGAGAUAGCAACAUGAAGAUGGGGCAAGAACUAGAGCUAAUUUGAUCUAACAUUUGGUCAAUACCUUGAGAACAAGUGGUCGGGGUUGGAAGGUGCUUUGAUCAUAGUGAGCUCUUGAUUCCCCCUUUUCAUGUUAGGAUGGUCUCUCUCUAUCCCACAUUGUAUGUGCUACUAUGGUGAAUGUACUUGGAUUAAAGCUUCACAUUACAAAACACAACUAUUUUGCAUGACAAUUCUUCCUAAAAAUAAUGUAAAAAAUAACAGUAAAGAUCCUAAAUAGUUUAAGUUAAGGAAAUUGUAUGGAUCAGAAUGACACUCUUAAAAGUAAAAGAAUAAAACUAAACUAAGAUUCCUUUGAUCUAAAAACCUAAAUUGAUUUGAAUGUGUUUAGUUAUUCUUUACUUUUGACAUGUGCCAUGUGGAUUGUACCAUUGAUUGAUGGAUUCUACCUAAUUUGAUUGGAUUGAAAGGUGAUCGACCCAAUCUUUAAAAAUUGCACGAGAUCCACAAUUACUUACUAUCACUGUUAGGAUCAAAUGGUAAUAAUAAAUACAACAAAUUUAUAAUUCUAAGGAGGGAUAAAUAACAAUUCAACUGUGAUUGUAAUUCACUGUGAUUGAUUUAUCAAUGCAAUUUUAUUACGACUAUGUCAAUUGUGAUUUCGAAGUGAUAGAAUACGUAAAUAUAAAAAGAGAAGAAACUUUUGUUGUAUUAACUUUUACCAUAUAAUUUAAAAAUAUAUCUUUCUAUUUCAAACAUCAAUAAUAAUUUUGUUCUAUAUAUUUUGCAUAAAGUUGAGAAAGAAGGCUAAAUAGAUGGUGAUCAAUAUUUAACUUUUACAAACAUAUAGAAAUAGAAAAGUAAAUGAGACUUUGUGAGAAUAUAAAUGACAAUUAGGAUCGACGAACUUAAUUUUUUUCACGUCUCAAUCUUUAUUGUACUAAAGAAAAGCAAUAGAAAAGUAAAUGACACUCUGUGAGAAUAUAAAUGACAAUUAGAAUGGACGAACGUAAUUUAAUUCAUGUCUCAAUUUUUAUUGUACUGAAUAAAUAUAAAAAAGAGAAUUUUGAUUUACCUAUUCUGGUUGAUAAAAGAUAAAUAUCUUACUAAUAGGUCAGUAUUAAAAACGUAAAGAAUCUAUUGCACCAAACAUUUAUUUUUAAAUAAGGAAAAGAUAAAUAAAAUAAACUCAAAAUUGAAAGGCUAUACUUAUAAUUAACUUUAAUAUUAAUGUUUGUGGAAUUUUAAUUUUCUGUUUAAAGUGGUUGAGAUAGGAAUCUUACAACCUUACACUGUUAUCGCUAGAAAGAAAAACAAUUUUUAUAGUCGAUGGCAGAUCCGAAAAUUUUACAUAGGAGACACCAGACACUAUAUAAUAAACACAUUAAAAAUGUUAAAAAAUAUCUUGACGUUUCACUUAUGCUCUAAUAACACUCACUACAUUUAUAGCAAUAAAUAAAGACCGACAAUUUUCACAUGAUUUUUUUUAAUGUAAAUAUGUAAAUUUAAAAUUUGCAUAAAAAAAGAAAAAAGAAAGAAUAAUACAUUUUUAAUAUUAUUGAAAGAGUGGAAGUUUGGAUCACCGAUUUUAUUACAUUCUUUUAAUUUUUUUUGUUAGAUAACAAAUGAGAUCUAAGAAAUAAGUUAGGGUUAUAUAUGAGUUUUUUUUUUUUUCUUUUUAAAAAUUAUCUUCUUUUGGUGAAAUCAAAUUAUCUUCUUUUUAGGAAAUCAAUAUCUUCCUUUUGUAAAUCAAAUUAUCUUCGUUUGGAAAAUUGUUAAAAUUUAAUAAGAAAUUUGAUAUCUUCAUUUUAGGAAAUCAUUAAAAUUUAGAAAGAGAUUUGAUAUUUAGGAAAAUCAAAUUAUCUUCUUUUUAGUAAAUCAAAUUAUCUUACUUUUGGCAAUCAAAUUAUCUUCUUUUGGAAAUCAAAUUAUCUUCGUUCGAAAAUGGUUAAAAUUUAAUAAGAAAUUUGAUAUCUUCCUCUCACGAAAUCAUUAAAAUUUAGAAAGAAAUUUGAUAUUUAGGAAAAUAAAAUGAUUGAUAUUUGAGAAAAGAAUUUGAUCGAUGUUUUGAAUAAAAAUCUAUUUUGUAAUAAUUUAUGAAUAAAUUUGAUAUGUGAGGAAAAAAAUUAUUGAUAUUUGAAAGAAAAACUAUUUCGUAGGCAAAACGAAGCUAAAUUUAAUAUAUAUUAUAAUCUAACACUUCAAAAUUAAUAUUAAAAUACAAAAACCGAUAACGUGAGAGGACACGUACCUCCAAUCCCUUAAUAAAUUCGACCUUGUUCAUAGCUAUCAACAACUAUGAGACCAAAAUUAUUUUUUUUGUGAAGGAAUAAAAUUCUAAAUUUCCCUCCUUUCUCUGAUAUAUUAAUUUGUGAUUGUUUAUAUAUAUAUAUAUUUCAAGAAAAAUUGUUUUCAAAUUAAGAAGAUGGGGUAAUUUAUAAAGUGGUUACUAACAAUCUUUUAAUACUAAAAAAAGAAUUACAUGAGAACUUCGAGAUUAGACAAAUCAAAACCAACAUGUUAUAGUUAUUGUGAAAUGAAAUCUCCCAUAAUUAGAAAAGAAAAGAUAAAAUGAAAUCAAGCAUAGAUCAAAUACUUUAAAUCAAAUACUAUAAAGGACAAUUAUUAUAUACGUUAAUACUUUAAUUCUGAUUGCUAUAUUUACGAUUGUCCAUUAUUGGUUUGGUAUUUAAAUUUUAUAUAUGAUUUUACUGCCAUUUAUGAAUGUUUUAAUAUGUUUUUCUAUUUUUAAAAAAUAUCCAUUUUUAGCCCUCCAAUCAAACAUCAAUUAACUAUAUAACAUUUAAUUAUAAACUCGAAUAAAAUAUCAAUUUAUCGUCUAAGAUUUAAUUGAAAUCUACAAUAAAACAUUAAUUUACCAUCUAAACCUUUAAUUAAAAUUUAAAACAAUCGAUUAUUGAGAAUAACUAUCUUAUUUUGGAAUGGAGUCAUCUGAACAUAAACAUGUUUGAAAUUUGAUGGACAUGAAUCAAAAUAUAGUUUUGUUUAGAAAGUUGCAACAACUAGAACGAAUGUAAACGAAUGUGGAAUGAAAAUAGGGUGUUUUAAAGCAUUUAGAAAGUAAAAGAUAGGGUUAGACAGAAAGUUAGGAGUAGAAGAUAAAAUUUACAUAUUUUAAGUAAACUAUUAGGAAAGAGGGAACCCACAAAUUCAAAAAUGAUUCUCUUCUUUAUUGGAACAAUCACAUGCAUUAGAAAACAUCAUAAUCAGCAUCUACUCAUCAACAUGAAGUAAGCUCAGCAGAUUCUUGGAAUUUCUCAUAUACUCACUCUCUUCAUUGACUUUUCCCAAAGUUGGCAACUUGAUUCAGCUUUAGCUGACAAAGCCAGCAUCAUCCCACGAAAUCCAGAAGCACUUUUUCGUUUUGGAGCUUCGAGUGCUCCACCAUGGCGUUUCAAACCCAAUUUUUGAAGAAGGCCUCCGUGAGGCGAACUCGAAGGCGCUUCAUGGCUUUUCCAGGCCAACCUUUUGCGCUUCUUUCUCUUCCAUUCCUUCUUCUUACGCUGCCAUGGGUGCCGACGAAUCCAAACCUGUUCUUCCGCCCUUUGAUUAUGAACCGAGGCCUUACAAAGGGCCUCUCACCGAUGAAAUUUUUCAGAAGCGGAAGAAGUUUUUAGGGCCUUCGCUUUUCCACUACUACCAGAAGCCAGUAAUCUCUCAGAUUUCGACUUCAUAUCCUUGUUUGUUUCAGUUUUCUGCAUUCUUGAUUUUGCUGUGGUUUUUUCUGAUAAAGAUUGAUUGUGGAAUUCUGUCGGUUCAUUUCUUUGAACAGAUUAUGAUUUUGCAUGAUUUUUCCGCUUUUUUUAUUCGUUGCUACUGCAGAUUUGUUGAUCUUAGUCACUGUUUUAUGGGAUACGCUUGGUUGUUUGGUUUCUGUUUGAACACACAUCAUUAAACUGAUCUUGGUUUGUGCAUGUCGAAUUAUUAGGUGCGAAAAAUUGUUUAUGCAUACUUACGUUCUUCUUCUGUUUGGGGGUCGUGUUUUCAUAUUUCUACGUUUGUCUAUAUUUUCUCAACUUCGUACUUCUAUAUAUAGAUAAAAAAAAAGCGUCCACGUUUUUUUAUGCGCCUUGCGAUUAACCAGAAGAUUAUUGCGUUUUAUUGUGCCUUUAAAAACCGCUGGGUAGGGCUUAGUAAAUGUGGAUCCAUUCUUUGAGACCUUGAAUUAAGUCAAGCUUCACUUCAUUCAUUACUUUAUACAGCUUUUCACCCUUGAAAGUUGAAACUAUUCUUGCACUAGUAACUUCUAUGGUUAUUGCUUUCCUAUGCUGGUACUUUGAUUUAAGUUGUUACAUGUCCACUGUCAAAAACAUUUGAUCAAGGGUUGCUAUUUUCGGGGCGGGCAGACUCCUAUAUCUUAGACUAGAAAAGUUUAAUAAAAGGGAUGAGUUUUAAAGUUUUCUCUCGUAUCUUCCCCCUCAUAAGUUUUUCGAAUUGAAAGAUUAUACGUGUAACUGGUUUAGAUCAAACUUUUGGCGGACUUUAUAAGAAAUCUACCCACCCUGGCCAGUUUGUUUUGUUUUGUAUUUGAUGGAUUCCCUUAAUUUCAUAUGUCCACACAUUCUUCAGAAACUGAUCUGUUUGAUUUACGCUCUUAAUUUACAGCUCAACAUUGUAGAAGGAAAAAUGCAGUAUUUGUUUGAUGAGAAUGGUAGGCGCUACCUUGAUGCUUUUGCUGGAAUAGUUACUGUAUCCUGUGGGCAUUGCCAUCCUGAUGUUUUGGCUGCAGUCAAUGAGCAAAAUAAACUUUUACAGCAUGCUACAACCAUAUACCUACACCAUGGGAUAGCUGAUUUUGCUGAAGCAUUGGCAGAAAAAAUGCCUGGAAAUUUGAAGGUGUUUUUUCCUUUUGAAUUAUUACAUAUUAUUAAUAUAUUUUAGAAGUUGAUGGAUGAUAAUGAAGCAAAGCAUGCAGUACAUGUUAGGCUCCGUGGAAAUUGUUGAACAUGUAUAGUUGUAUUUCAAUUCCUAGAACUGGUGGAUCUUGUUUCUCAACUUUUGUGGUUUGGUUGCUAUUUCAUCACUCCUUGAUUCUCCUUACCUUUUUAAAGAUUAUCCUACUUCUGUAUUGCUUUAAACUUCUGCUUUUUUCACUUUGUUAUUCAGGUUGUUUAUUUUGUAAACUCUGGGACAGAAGCAAAUGAAUUAGCCAUGCUUAUGGCCCGCCUGUACAGUGGUAAUCUCGGUAUGAUUGCACUGAGAAAUGCAUACCAUGGAGGAAGUUCCAACACAAUUGGACUGACGGCUUUGAACACAUGGAAGUACCCAAUACCUCAGGUUUUUCUGCCCAGAGCUUAAUCUCCAGUUUGAUGUUUUGUUUGGUUGCCUGUAUGUUAGAGAUAGAACUUACAUUGCCUUCUUGUUUUCUACUAGUCUGAUCUAGGCUUGCAGCAUCUUUUAAUUUAAAUGAAACAUUUUAGCAAUACUAUUAACACAUUUCAAGUAGCUACUUGAAGUAGAAAUAUCCACUUGAUGCAACUGCUAUUUUGUAAAAGCAAGAUGGAACUUUCACAUGCAAUUUACUCAGUGUAAACACAUACUCUGUUCUAGGAAGCUGCACAAUUUGAUCCAAGCAUUUUGAUUCACAUGCAAAAUUCUUGUGCUUGCAGGGCGAAAUUCAUCACGUUGUGAAUCCUGAUCCAUAUCGUGGUGUCUUUGGGUCAGAUGCUAGUGGUUAUGUCAAGGAUGUCCAAGAGCAUAUUGAUUAUGGUACUUCAGGAAAAGUUGCUGGAUUUAUAGCUGAAACAAUUCAGGUGCGUUUUUGUGACGUCUGAAAUCGAACAUGAUAGGCACAUUCUAUGUAAAAUUGAAAUUAUGUAUGGUUUUUCGGUUAUCUCAGGGUGUUGGAGGAGCUGUUGAAUUAGCACCUGGAUACUUGAAACAUGUUUAUGAUAUUGUUCGCAAUGCUGGUGGUGUUUGCAUUGCUGAUGAGGUCCAAACUGGCUUUGGUCGAACGGGAAGCCAUUAUUGGGGCUUUGAAACACAGGGUGUGAUUCCCGAUAUAGUAACGAUGGCAAAGGUAAUAUUUCUCAACCUUCAGCAAAAUGUGUUUACUCUUAUGCUAGUUGAAAACCACUGCAGCUCAUUGUCCUCGUUGUUCAUAACUUGAAAAUUUUCCCCCAACAGUUUUAAGUAUUCCACUUUUCAGGGUAUUGGAAAUGGUUUACCAUUGGGAGCAGUGGUGACAACGCCUGAAAUAGCGAGCACAAUGGCUCAAAAAAUUCAGUUCAAUACUUUUGGAGGGAACCCAGUUUGUUCCGCUGGGGGACUUGCAGUUCUAAGAGUUAUUGACAGAGAGAGGCGUCAAGCACAUUGUGCUGAUGUUGGUUCGCACUUACUGGAGAGAUUGAGAGCUCUCCAGGAAAAAUAUGAAAGUAAUUUCUCGUGGACUUUCUCUCUUUUAAGACUUCUACCUUCUUAAGUAAUCCACUUCGUUCUAAUAAUUCCAACGAUGACAUUUUUCAAAGCUUUGGAACACCAUUAGAAAUAAUUACGUUCAUUCCAACUGCUGCUAUUGUGAACCACACCCUGUCAUUUGAUUAAUGUAUUUUUUCCAGUCAUAGGAGAUGUACGAGGAAGGGGAUUAAUGGUAGGUGUAGAGCUCGUAACUGAUCGGAAGGAAAAAACCCCAGCAAAGACUGAAACCGCAGUAUUGUUCGAGAAACUAAGAGGUACUACAAUUCACUAUUUCCAAAGAAAAUAAUGUUAAACUGAAAGUAACAAAGGGCUGUUGUACUAAUGACUCGUUUCAUCUUGAUUGAAGAACUGGGCAUUCUCGUCGGAAAAGGGGGUCUGCAUGGCAAUGUAUUUCGAAUAAAACCUCCCAUGUGUUUCACCAAAGAUGAUGCAGGUAUCUUUUUUGUAAAUUUCUCAUUGAAACAAAUAAAAGCUACAUUUCGUGCACUGUGUGUUUUGAAAAUGAAAAUUUUUGGAGUUUCUGGAAGGAAAGAUAUGUUAUCAUUAUUAAUACUCCUUUUUUACCUCUCAUCUGCAGAUUUUCUUGUUGAUGCUUUGGACUAUUCCAUUUCAAAGCUGUAAAACUUAAAAGCUUUAAUGAGGUAAAGAAGUCAGACACAGUGUUUUUUCUUUUGUAUGUAACUUAAAAUAAAAUGUAGUUCUUGUGUGUAUGAGCGUCUCAAUUGUUCUAUUGUUCAUCAAUGUUAGAAAUCUUAUUGUACAAUGACUUUGAAACUUUUAAGAAUAAAAUGUAGUUUGUUUGUACAUCCAGCUACUACUUUUUCCUUUCUAAUUUAUACUUUUGUUAUUAUUAUUUUUCAAUCACAGUUUUGGUUUUGAGUUAAAUGUGAAGUUGAUGUCUCAAUAGCUUGUCACAUGACUGCUGAUUUUUUAGAUUUGUAGAUGUACCAAAUACCCCAUUGUAGGGCUAUUAGGAUGUUUUGUCCUUGCCAAUGAUUUAAUGCUUGAACAUGUUCUAUUCGUACACAUUUUAAAGUGCGAUUUAAUAUCAGUGUCUCAACCUAAUUCGUUGCUAUUCCAAACUAACAUUUGAGAAGAUUGAUUGGCGUCGAUAAACAGAGAGUUGAACUAUAUUAUUUGUGGAUAGUUCCUGCAUUGCACAAGGAGAGUGAUAUGAAUUGAUCAAACUAUUAUUUAUGUUUUAUUUAGUAAUUGAUGUAAUCUUCAUAUUUUCAUAUUAUCUUUUUAUGACAUAUUAAGUAGGGGUAGUUUUCUCUUUUUCACUAUGAUCUAAGAUGUGGCAUUAGCGUUUUUAUUGAUAGGUCAUUUAAAGCCUUGCUAUUAGGUUGUUUACUCAAAUUAGGACGAAUUAAUUUUGACCUUUGACCUUUGUUCUUGAAUUUUGCAAUUAUGUGUAGAGUUGUUUGUCAAAAGCAUUUAAGUAAGGUUGGUCAUUCUUUGUUUCAAAUCUUGGAUUAAGUAACUCUUUUUUUUUUGUCUCAAGAGCUUGAAAUCAAACUAAAUUGUGGGUUUUAAUGCUUGAGAGUUGGGGGUUUCACAUAUUCAAAGGGUAUUCAAUUCCAAUUUACAUGUGUUUCCAGAGAAGGCUUAAAAAUUAUUUGAAUUUGAGCUAUGACAUAAAUGAUUGGGCACAUGUCUUGUUAAGAUAAUUCUUGCUUACUCGUUUUUAGCUUUGUUGAAAAGAAAUCAACUAGUUCAUGUGUAUGAGUUUUUAAAGGAAAUGGAUAUUGUGCGUAUCUCAAUAACUCUACGGGGCCGUUUGACCCAUAGACUAAAAGAGUGGUAGCUCAACCCAUGUUUGCUCUAAAGAUUAUCACAAUCUUAGGAUUAUGACUAUUCUACCUUUUUUUUUCUUAUUCUCCUAUUCCUCAUUUCCUCAUUUCCUCCUGUCACUAUUCCUCAUUUCCUCCUUUCACUAUCUCAUUUACUCCUUUCACUAUUCCUCACCUCUCAUCUCUCAUAUAUGUCACUAUUUCUCAUUCCUUUGUUUCACUAUUUCUUACUUCUCCAAACAUAAAUUAUAAUAAUUCAAACUAUAAUAAUCUGCAUCUCAAACACAUAUUAUAAUAACUCAUAAAUUAUUAUAACCAAUAGACUAUAAUAACUAUAGAUUAUAGUAACUCACUCUACGUCCCAAAUGCUCCAUGUAUGUGACUUACUUCGAGCUUUGAAAUGUUAAUAUUUUUUUGGGUAAUAUCUCUUCUAUCGUUGUUUCAAUUAAGAAAUAUUUGUAUAAUUGUUUCACGUGGAGGAUUUUCUGACAAAAUCAUCGCUUAGAUUUGACUACUAUCACUCUUGUUGAGAGAUGUUGAUAUUUUUUCUUUUAUGCAACUUGACUUAUGUGUGUGAACCUUUUUCUCAAUUUAAGUGACACAACCACGAAAACAUUAAAUUGCUCUAAAUUGUAUGAUUUCAUUUAUUAGAAAAGUUAUUCAGGUUAAGGAAUCCUUCUUUACACCAAUUGCAAUAUCUCAUUAAUUAUUAGACUCAUAUUAGUGUGGUUCAGAUCAAACAAAUUUUUCUUGAACUUGCUGUUCUUUCAUUAGUUAAUUUGCUUUGUUUGGUGGUUUCGCUAACUCUUUGAAAACAAAGAAAAAAUCAAAUUGUCUCAUUAUUCAUCAGCAAAGACCAAGUAUUCACUCCAUAACUUGAUUAGAUUUGAAUUCAAGUAGCUUAAAGUGUCGUUUGCAGGUUCUGGAAUGGAUCAUUCUAGUGUCAUGAAUGUAUUUUUUGAUAGCCAGUCAAUUACAUAUUUUGCUUGAAAUCUAGUUUUUCAUGAAUGCACAAAAUGUGAUGUCCACAACAACAUAAUUGUUGGAUUUCGUAUUUCUAAGAAUUAAAGAUCAAUUUGUAGACAUCUUUACGAAGGCAUUAGAGAAACAACAUUUUUUUGUAUCUUCAUUGUCACAAGUUGGAGAAUUGUGAUCCUCAUUUACGAACACCUCGAGGAGCAUAAGAAUGCAUUUUAAUUUUAGUUCAAAAUUAGGGUUGUAUUAAGGUAACAAAACUUUGUUGAUAGGUUCCAAUUUGAAUCAACUAAAGUAAACUAACUACUCCAUUCACUGUCAUUUAUAAAUGUCAUUCUUGUAAUCAGUUGAGUAGGAAAAAAAAAUUGCAUAUCACAAAAAUGUUCAACCUGAAGAUUGAUUAUAUUAACACUAAAUAGAUUAUAUUUAAGACAACUUGGCAAUACAAUAGAUUACAAAAAUCAAUUAUACUUACAAUUUUUUCUCUCGAUAAGAUUCUCAAUAUUUACAAAUGGGCGUGGUAGGACUUGCAAAAUGGUAUGGCUUUGCAUCCUUGAUUAUAAAUCUUAUACCAAUACAUUUCCACGACGCCUGCAUAUCCUUUUAGGAUAAUCAUGAAGCAACCUUGAGCUUGCCAAAUGUUGGAUAAUGAACUAUGCAGGCUCACAAGGACGAUUACCCCAAAGUGAGCUCAAUGCUCGGAGUCGUUGGAAAAACUCCCCCAGUGUAAGAAGGCCUUGAGCAGAUUGUCGAGUCGUUAGAAUUUUGUACAUCUGUUGCAAUGUUUCCUGUCGUAGAUGGUCAGCCUAUUUGGGCAUUAGAAAAGAGAGAAAAAUAAAAGAUGAUUGUUUCAUGAAAUGCUCAAGUCUGACUAAUUAUUUUUGGAUGUACCAAAUACGACGUAGUGAGGUUCUGAGCUAAGCCUAGCGCGCUAACACUUUUCAGAUAUUGAAAUAAUUCUUUGCUAAAAACAUCUAUGUAAAAUUAUAAUCAAGUUCUAACAUACAUGGUUUGGACUUGGGACAUGGAAGGUUAAAGUGACCUAGGAGAAAGUUAAUAAAAGAACACAUCAUAUCCAAGAAAUAUGUUACCUGAUUCACAAAGCUAACGAGCGCUUCUAAUCUCUCCAUUGCAGCAGUCAUCUGUAGGGGAUAACUUCCUUCACCUAGCUGACCAGCCACUACGCUCUCAAAUAGAUUUUGUUGUAGUUUUUCCAUACCUUGUCUAAGAGCAUCUUCUGCCUGUAGACACGAUUUUCUAAGGCUACCCGUUUCUGAAAUUUGUUGUUCGGUUAAUGUCUCCAGCUGAGGUAUCAAAACCUGCAUAUGACAUAACUUUGUGAAUGUCACCAAACUUUCAUGUAAAUCCACUUAGUACUCUCAUUCUUGAAUAUCGAAAGGCUUUCUGAAUUUCUUGACUUCAAAUAUUGUAGGAUCAAGGGAUGGUCGAGAACUGUGGACCUAAUAUAUACAUAGAAAUCAAGUGACUUUCUACGGUAUAAAAAAUGUCAAAAUGUGGGACUUGACCAUGAUUAUCAAGAAGCAUUCAAAGAAUACCUUAAAAUUUAUGCCUCUAACAUAGAUUUUCACUGCAAUACAAGAAAUAAACAAGAAUGCUGAGUAUAUCUAAUGCUCUAAUCUUCAUUUUUUCAAAGGGGUGGUCCACGAAGCUACGUACAAUAGUGAAUUAAGGUCUUUUUAAACCAUGUUUGUUAUUCAAACUAGACCUAAAGUCGUGUGUGAUUGGAAGAUUAACUCUUUUGUUAAUGUCAACAUUUUACCAUGACUCGCCACUCACGUUAAUAAGAACGUACCUUGAGAAGUUCUGAAGGGCGAAAUCCUCCUAUCCAUAAGAAAAGUCUUUCGGCGGAUGUCUUCCACAUGCCUGACAUUAUGUAAGAGACGUCGGCUUUUGCAGCCUUAGCUUUCAUGCGAAAAAAUUUAAAGUAAUGUCUCAUUGCAUUUUCCACGAGUAUUCGAAGCUCGAUAUCAGUAAUAUCAGCAUGCACAGCAGUCCUCAGAUCACAAAUCUGCCUGUUCUGCUCUUCCACCCAUUGCUCAUACUCUGAUUCAAAUGCGAAGAUGCCUACAAAACAAACAGUGAGGAUAUAUUCAGAAGAUAAGAACGACAGAGAUUAAGGUAGAUUGCAAGUAAGAAGAAGAAAGUUGGUAAGAAAUUUAGGUAAACAGGUCAUAACUUUAGUCAAUGAGGCUUCUGAAGUGAAUUUGCAGAUGUAUACAAAUAGACAAAAAGAGUUGUAUGUGAAAUAGACAAAUUCAUAAAUAUUCUUCUUUUUACAACUUCUCCAGCAUUUUUGUUAUGUUUUUGUUUCCAUAACUGGGGUAUUUGGAUCUCACUCCUCGCAUUAAAGCUUAACAAUUCUGCCCUUCAACCCUCAACAACUUGCUCAAAAUAUGUUAGUGAAAAAUAGUAAUAGUUUUAAAGCAUUUAAAAAGUCAUUCCAUACAGACUAAGUUUUCAAUUUGGAAACUUCAACUUAAUACUUUGGAGGACACAUCCAAAAAUACUCGAACUCUGAAAACCAAGGCAUUCUACAUCCCUAGCAUUUCAAGCACCAAAUCUUUUUCAUCAUACCAUAUAUCUACAAGAAGUUCUAUGUCAAACAAGACGUGAUGCCGUACAAAACAUGUCAUCCUUGAGGAAAAUUAUCAAAAGUGGUAAGGAAGACCAGUCAAUCUUGAUCUGAAAAAUGAAUAGUAUAAAGCAAAAAAGGAUCAAAAUGCCUUUUGUUAAAGCAGUUGAUGAAACAUGGAACCACAUUUAAUGGGAGAGACCGCCUUUAGCACCACACAUCAAUAAGUUGGAUAAUCUUUACGUCUAGGACUCAAAAACGUUCGGAGACAUCCUAAACUUUACAUUUUACGAUGACCCACAUGUUGGGUUAAGAUUUUGGAUGUUCAUAGUUGACAAUUCAACAAACACUGGACCUGCAAAAAUUUUAGUCACUAAUCAUUUCCCCUAAAUUGAACCUCUCAAACAAAUUUCACAUCUCGUAGCUUUCAAAUUCCCAUCUUUCAGUUAUCAAACAACCAAAACCAAGCAAUAAAAGGAUCUACACUAUUGACAAGACAUUGAAACAUCAAAGUUAAAGAAAAGGGUAAAAACAAAGAACGAUUGGCCAGCAGAAAACCAACCUGAAUUUGUGGUUCCUGAUAAACCCAAUUGGUUAUUAUCAAAUCGGGAUCCAGCCAAGAGACCCUGAAGAAAAAGACAGGGCGAGAGAUUAAAUUAGAGGAAAAGAAAUGAAACCCAUUCAUAAUGUUCCGUAAAAAGUUGAAUGCAGGUUUAAAACAAAAAGAAUCAAUUCGAAGGAAUUAUCGUUCGUACUUGUUGUCUUGCCUUUUCAAGUUCUUGCUCCAAUUGAAUGAGCUUUAUGCGGCUUGUUUCCAAUUGCUUAAUAUAAGCCUACAAUUUUGCAAAUGGGGUUUGAAUUAGUAGUCUAUUAACACUGUUUUUUUUUUUUCUCUAUUAUUUAUUGCAAUUGAAACUUUGAAAUUGAAUGCUACAAUUUUGAAUUUUGGUUGGUACCUUUUUCCGUAGGCGACUUUUGCGAGCUGCUUCCCGAUUUUGUGCCAGCCUUCUUUGAAUCUGCAAUUGAUGGAGUUUUCAGUAUAUUUGUUCUCCUUCCUCAUGGAGGGAAGAAAAAAAAAAACUUCAAAAUUUCACUUAUCAGUUUUGUUCGGUAUUUUCCACAAAUUUGAAAUCUCUCAAUAUUUUUUUCUUAAAAAACCAUUUUAUUAUUUAUGCAAUUCUUUUUUGGUAAUGAUUUAUUUUAUAUAUAUAUAUACUUAAAAAAUGUGCUUCUUUCUUUUCUAAAAAAUAAAAAAUUGUAAAAACUAAUUUUUAUGUCCAGGAUAUUUUUGGUUUUUAAUUUUUUAGAAUGAAGUCUAUAAACACAAAUUUCAUACUUAAAUCUAAUUAUUUUGUUAUCUCAGGUUUUCUAAAAUUAAACCUAAAUUGAAAAAUAUGUUUUUCUUUUAACUAGUUAAAAAUUCAGAGAAACUUUUAAAAAUAAAAAAAAAUUAAAUAAUUACUAAACAAGUAGUCACUGAAACUUUGUAUGACGAAUUUUGAAGAUAUAAAUAAAAAGUCGUUUCAAUACUUAAUUUUAAAAAGUCAAACAAUGGUUAUCCCUUUCAUUUUCUUUUUUUUUUCUCUAUCUAUAAAUUAUAAUAAGUUGAAUUAUUUCUUUUUCAGAACAAUUCGAGUAAGAAAUUUAAACUAUAUAUAUACCUCAUGGUUGUUAACUUAUAUCUUCAACUAAAAUAUCAUUUUCAAAACCUAUGCUCAUAUAUUUUAGAUUAAAAGGGUAUGUUAAAAGUUUAAUCAAAGUUUAUAAACUUUAUAGAGUAUUUAUUAAGUUACCUAUUUUAUUUAUUUAUGUUUAAAAUUUAACAGUGAAAUUCAAAUAUUCAAAUAUUGAAAACGUAGAAAUUUAUUUUAAAGUUAAAUUAUUGGAAGUACAAUGUUUUGAUCGUACCUUAUCAAUUCGUUUGGUAUCAUCUUGGUCAUAUACGUGAGGAUCUCCAAGUGAGCCAAGUGAAGCAUCAUCUGACUAAAGAAAGUUAAAAUGACAAAGAUUUCAAUUUCAUUCCAUAAAACAAAAACAUUAUCAAAUAAAUUAACAAAAAAUAAAAUAAAAUAAAAUAAAAUUAUGGAACAUGUACUUUUUAAGAAAACGAAAACAUUAUCAAAAGAGUCACCUGAUUUUCUAAUUUGGGAUCAGCUUCGAUGAUAAAAGAGGAGGGUGGAUCUAAAUUGGCAUUGGCUCUAAAAGUUUCACCCCACAUUCCAAUAUGGUGGAUAGGUUCAUAGAGUCCCAUCCUUCCUGGAUUGUAAAAUUUAGUGGAUGAUGAGUUCAUCCUUUCUCUUCUUCACACCUAACCCUUUUUAAUUAACAUUAUAUCAAACAUAAAUUAACAAUUUCUAUUACAAUAAUACUCAAUCAUGUUAUGCAUCAAUUCAUAUUAUAUUCCUAAAAAAUUAAAACAGUUUUGUUUUUAUAUUACAAAGUCAAAACAUAGAAAUGCUAUAAUUAAUUAACAUAUAUAAAAAAAAUGAUGGAGUUGAAAUCUAAAUUAGCGAAUUCAAUUGUAAUUUUACUUAAUUUCUAAAAUUGAUAAAAAAAAAGAAGAAGAAGAGGAAGAAGAAGGAGACUGUGUAUUUUAAAAGAAAUUGCCCAUUGUUAAUUGUUUUUCAAUUAAUGAUUUCAAAAAUCAAAUUCUUGUCUUUGAAAAUUAAACUCUCAAUCAUUGCAUUGUAAUAGUCCACAGAGAUGAUAUAUUUGUUUUUUCUUUUCUUCUUUUUAAUUUUUUUUGGCUUGUAAUAUUAUUUUUUGAAAAAUUAUGAAAUAUUUUUCGAAUUUCUAAAAAAUAAAUAGAAAAAAUAGAAGAUAUAUAGCUCAAUAAUUGAUAUGUACUUUGUUUUGAAAGUUAUAGACUUAAAUAAAAAUAAAACAACUAAAAUAAUUACACAGAGUGAUAAUUUUAUUGAAAGAAAAUUAAAACCUCAAUAAUCAAUCCAUCCAUAACUACAUAAUCAAAUAAAAUUCUAUAUAAUUUGUAAUUUCAUCAAAUCAAAACACAAUAACAUUUCAAAUAUCUGUUUCUUUUUUUCUUUAAAAAGAACAUUUCAAAUUAAAUAUCCAUUUCAAGGUUAAGAUGGACUCAGGAGAUAGAAAAAGAAGAAGAUUGGGACAGACAAAUUAAUCAUAUAAUAUGAUGAAAUUAAUUGCAAUAAAAACAAAAGAGAAAUAAUUAUGAUUAUAGUUCUGAAAAAUGAAGUAAUAUACAAUAAUAAAAUAAUGCAAUAAAACUAAGCUGGCAGUAAUAAUCUUUUCAAAAAUUAAAAGAAAGAAAACAAAACCCCACAUAUUAUUCUUGGACAAGUGGGAAAAAGUUAACCAUCAAACGAUUCAAAGAACAAACGAAAGAAUUUCCCAGAAACUUCAAACUCAAAACCAUUAACCAAAUCUUACAAAAAAACUACUAAUACUUAAUAGAUAAAACUAUCAGUUUUAUAUUUGGAAAGCUCUUUCCAAUCAACAUAAAUUGGAUCGAAAAGUAAUAAAAACCGAAUGGAAAAGUGAAGAAGAUGAAGUAGUUGAUUGAAAUUCAGUCGUAACAAUCACGAAAGUUGAAAUAAACUGGAACACGUAGAUCAAUAGAAGAGAGAGGAUAGAAGAACACACCUGGAAGUGAAUAAGAAGAAGAAGAAGAAGAAGAAGAAGAAGAAGAAGAAGAAGAAGAAGAAGAAGCAGAUUGGAUUGGAAAAAGGAGUGUAGUUUGGAUAUAAUAAUUAGUUGGAUCAAACAUAAACAUCCCCUAAGAGAGCAAAAAAAGGGGGCUUCAAAGUCAGUUGGUUUCUUCUUUUUGAUCAAAUUAAACUUGUAUUUUUUUUGCUCCCACCAUCUUAAUUAAACUGCCCCCCCUCUUCCUUUUUUUCUUUUCUUUUCAGCCCUUUUUGUCUUCCUUACUCUCUCUGUUUAUUUUAUUUAUUUUGUACCCUUAUUUGUUUCUCUUUCUCUCCUAUUGGUUUUUUCUUUGUCAUCUCUCUCUCUCUCUCUCUCUCUCUCUUAAAUGAAUAAUAUUUGUUUAUUUUAAAAUGGAAUGUGGGCUUAGUUUUGAAAUGGGUCAAGGCUAAAUAUGAUUGCAAUUUCAUGGCUGUGGUUUUUUGAAGCAUAGGGAUCUCUUUGCAAAUUAUUAUUAGUUUUGGUUUUAAUUUUGUGAUGUCAUUUUUCUUUUCAUGUGGUUUUUUCAAUAUAUGGUUGUGAUUAAAGUUGCCAAUCUUUCUCUCUUAUUAUUAUUUUUAUUUUAUAUAGUACUUGAUGAUGAUGAUGAUAUAAUCAAUGUCUCUGAUUAGGGAAAAAAAAUUUAAUUAUUUUUAUGAAUAUAAAAACUUAUCCUUAUCUGAUUGAUGUUAAUAGAUUUGUUUUGUUAUUUCAAAGUUUCAAAUUAAAUAACCAAUAGAAUGGAAAUUCUACAUGGAUCCCUUCUUCCUUUUUAGAAUUUUUGUGUCGUUUUGUUGUGGUAGUUUAAAUGGGGCUUCUUUCUUUCAUGACCUAUGUAACCUUUUCUCCAUUUGGAUUCAUUAUUUUGUUUUCUUUUUCUCUCUUUUAAGUUAAAUUAAAAAAAAAAUCGUCAAAAUUGUUGGAAUGACUUUCAAAUAUUUAAUUUUAAAAAUGGUGAAAAUAGAGUUUUUUUUUUUUCUUUUGCAAUUUUCCCUUAAAAAUUUAAGUGUAGUUUUAAUAAUCAUGCUUAAAAUAUAAACACUUUAAUUCACUAGAGAAAAAAAAAUAUAUUUCUUUAAAAAGUCAUUUUUAUCUAAUAAAUCUAAUAGAAACGGUUAAAAAUAAAAUCUAAAGUAUUUCCAAAGCUUUUUAUUAUUUUAUUAUUUUUUAUUGUUAGACAUUUGAUUAUUCUUUAAAUAACUUUUUUAAAAUUAAAAUAUUAAGGAAACGCACCUUUAAUUUAAUAAUUAAAAAUGAUUUAAUUUUUAAAAAUAAUUUUUCAUGAAACUAUCUAAAUAUUUUCUAAAUAUAUAUAUAUAUAUAUAUAUUAUAUAUAUAUAUAUAAAAAUAUAAACUUGUUUACCAUUUGUAGUAUAACUCAUCAUCCCUAGAGAAACAACAUGCUUAGUUUCAAGAGGAACAGAGUCCCCAAUUAUAUUCGUUUUACGUUUUUUUCAAUUAUUUAAUUAUUUAGUGAUUAUUGUUUUUUGUUUUUUUUGUAAAGUUAUGAAAGAAUUUGGGGAAUGUCUAUUUGGUGAUUGGGGCCAACCAAUUUCCCAAAUAGCAUCUCCCACUUCCAUGGUUGCCAUGUAGUGUUUUCAUGAAGAGACAUCCAAGUGCUACCUAUAUAUAUAUAUAUAUAUAUAUAUUAUUUUUAUAAAACACUGUUAAAAUUCAUUCUUUAUUUCAACCCACUUAAUUUUCUACUUCUUUUUAGAUAUUACAGAUCUAAUUAAUUCAUAUUCCCAUAUCCUACAUAUUAUAUAUAAAAUGUUCCACACAAUCAAUUUUGGUCAAUGUAUAUAGGCUUUAAUCUAACUUUUCUAGAGUUGUAAUUUAAAAAUAAAAAAUUAUGUUACACGAUAUAUACUAAUAAUCAUAUGGCUUAAAAUUUUCAAAACUAUUUAAAAAAGUAAAGUUUUAAAUUGAUUGUAGUGUUUUUAUUAGCCUUGUUUGAUUGCAAUUGUUAUCUAGAACAACUUAAGUGAUUCUUCACACGGAAAAACGAGUAGGAAACGAAGUGGUGGAUAAUGUAUUAAAGAAAAGAUGGGAUAAGCAUAAAAAGGAAAAAAUAAAUGAAUAAUUAGGCAUGAUGGAGGAAUUGUAUGUGUGUAUAAAGUAAAGGAAAGAAAGUGGGAGGCAAUUGGGAUUUAUUUAAUGUAGGUUGGGUUGGGUGAUUGGAUUCCAUAUUGGUUUAUAUAUAUAUAUAUAUAUAUAUAUAAUAUAAUUUAUUCUAUGCUUAUUCAAAUUUGUAUGGAAUGUCACCAAUUUCAUCUUCUUUGUUAUUACUUCUCUAAGUGGGUUUCUAAAGUGCUUUCCCACUUACAAUGGCUUCUCUCUCUCUCUCUCUCUCUCUUUCUUAGAUUCAUUAACAAGAAUGAGAAUUUAGAUUCCAUGUCACUUCUCAACUUGCCCUAUGAUGCUAUUUUCUUUUUCUUCAUUUUCAAACCAUUUAUUAAAUUAAUUGUUGUAGAUAUGUCUAUUUUAUGAUCAUUUGAUUUUAAGCGUUCUAUAUUAGUACAAUAAUGACAACAAUUUUUUUCCAUGAAUAGCCUAGUAUCUUAUAUUAUUACAUAAAACUCCGUCUCAAAAGUUCAUAAUACCUAAUUUGAUUUAUAGUAUUUUCUAUUGGAAAAUAGAAAGAGAAACAAAUAUGGAAAAAUUGGGAAGCAAUGCGUCUUAAAAUAGUUUUUUCUUUUCAAAAUUUUCAUAACUUUUAAGCAAAAUUGCAUUCCCAUUGGGUUUUUUUGUCCAAUAAUUUUUUAAUGUUGACUUAAAAUUCAAAAUCGUCUUAUUUGGUGAGUUGGAAUUUUUUGAUUUCAGAUAUAUAUCAGAUUUAUUUCAAAUAAUACAUACAAGGUUUAUUUCAAAUAUAUUUAGAACAAUUACAGAUUUAAGGUUAUUAUAUAAUGUAUAUCAAUACCAUAUUCUAUAGUUUUUGUCUUCAUUCUACUUAAGAUAUAUAUUUCACUUUAUCACAUGUAUUUAAUAUAUUUAGUCAUUUUGCAAAUAUAUACUACAUUUUAUAUAAUAAUAAUAUUAGAGCAAAUUGUAAAAAUCAACGUUAAAACAUGAUAAUUGAAUUUCAAAAUUUAAGAGAUAAAUAUUAUUUAAGUCAAGGAAUAAAAUAAUACUCAUAAAACCAUAAACCAAAUAUUCAUUACAAGAUAUAGUAUUAAAUAUUGUUAAUUCAAUUUUAAUAUAUAAUAAAGUUUUAUUGCAAUUAAAUGUUAAGGAUUUUAAAACUUUAAUAAGGGAUAUAAUAAGUAUUAAGGUUAAAUUUCUCUAAAAUUAUGUCAAAAUGUAGAUAUGAAACAUAUUACAAUAUUAGGAAACUUAUCAAAUAUCAAGUUUAUUUUUUCUCAAAUUCCCUGGGGUACUUUGUAUACUUCUUAAAUUCUUAGCUAAGUUUUAAAAACUAUUUAUUCUAUAUAUUUCAAAUAUUUUGAUUGAAAAUUUUACACAUUAAUAAAUAGUAGAUAACAAAUGUCUAGUUAGUAAAUUUUUCUUUUUAGCUUUUGAAAAUUAAGUUUACCUUCUCACAUUUUCUUAUUUUUCAAGCAUAAGAAUCCAAUAAAGUUUCAAAAUUAUUUUUUGAUUAUAAAAAUUUAAAGUGAAAGAUGUAUUUGUAAUUUAAUUGAAAAAAGAAAAAAAUAAUAAUGACUAAAGAUAAAGUUAAGUUUAGUCUUUAUAUUUAUUAGGAAAAAAAGUCAGUCAUGUUUACUUUAAUUCUAACAAGAAUACUAAACGUAUACGAUUUAACUAUUGAGAUGAAAGUAUUGAAUUGUAAUAACACAAAAUAUAUUAAUUAAAAGGUAAGAAGAUUCUAAUUGUUUUCUUUUAAAUUUUUUUUUUGACAUGUUCAGAUUAAUUGAAUAUAUGAACUAUUUAAUUCAGUUCAUGAAUGAUACUUUGAUAUUUAAUUGAUAGUCUUUAUAUUUAAGUUUGUUAAUUUUAGUUAUUGUUAUUGCAUUAAUCUUAAAUUUAUUUAUUUAUUUAAAUCUUAUUUCUUUAUCAAAUCGGAUAAACAGUAAUAAUAUUUUUUUUUAGAAAAACGAAUAUAUUAAUAUUUGUAUUGAGUCUAUUGAUAAGAUUAUAUUAAUCUCUUUAUUAUAUAUAUACAAUGUGAUAUAUACUUGUUCCUAUCGAAUAAUUUUCCAAAAAAGAAAUAAUAUAACUAAACUUAAACUACACUAAUUUAAAAUGUCAAAAAGGGAAAAAAAGAGUGUGUAAAACACAUUUAAAAUGGGAACUUAUUAAAGUAAGAUUGAUACAAUUAUGCCUUGAUGUGAAGAAGGCAUUGGCUAAUGAAUAUAUUCUCAUUUCCAUGGUGAUGUAGUUAAAGUAUUAUUUUGUUCUUUAAAAAAAACAAUACCAAUUUUAACUAAUUCUUCAACGUUGUAGCAUCCAAAAAUGUUCAAAAUAAGUAGUUCAAUUGAUAUUAUAUUUAUACUAUCGACUUUAAAGUCAAUGAUUCAAUUUCUCACUCUAUAUAUUAUAAAAAGAAAAUAAUAAUAAUAAUAAAACAAUCAAAUUAUAGAUUCUACAAAGAUUGAUCUAUAAAGAGAUUAUUAAAAAAAUGAAAAACAACCCUCUUUUUACAUUUAUGAGUUGGUUCAAUAUUUCUUUUUAAAAUUUUAAAUUAUUGCUAGAAGGAUGACUCAAAAUUAUAGAUCUUUUAUAUAGUAAUAUAGUAAUGUUUUGAAUUAUUAAAUUCACUUUUAGAUUUUUUUUCUUUAGAAAAGAGAUAUAAGAAAAUAUAUAUCCUAUGCUAAAUUAGAAAACUUUUAAAUCAUGAAACUGCAAAAUAAUUAACCACGUUAAAUUGUAAGCAAUAAAAUAUUAAUAUUCCCAAUAAUGUAGGAGAGAAAAAUGUCUGAAAGUCUAAGUUAUCCCAAUCUAAAUAAUAAAAUAAAACAAAAUGAUUACAAUUGGCCACAAUUUUCAAAAAAAGAAAACAAAGGAGUUGAUUAUUUAAAAAACUAAUUCAAAAUUAAAAUCAAACCAACAUAUUUAAAACAAUCUACAUUUAGUUAUAUAAUUUAAAAUAAAAGCCAAAAUUCUUACCUUCCAUUAUCUCUUUUUCCAUAUUAUAGAUUCGAAUAUAUCUUCAUCCGUCGUUAAAAGAGGAUUGUAAUGUUUACAAUAUAUAUAUAUAUAUAUAUAUAAUGAGAAUGAGAAUAAAAAGUUAUUUUUUUCUAUUAAAAAAAAGAAAAGGUUGAAAGGCUUAGGACAAGUAGGAAGCCAUAUAUAUAUAAAUAAAAAAGUAAUGAAGCUAAUUAUGUGAUUAAAAGAAGGGUAGAAUUGGGUUGGAACCAAUAAGGAAAUGAAACGUGGCAAAUGGGACCAUAAUUUAAAUAGGGAAAAAUAGUUGCCUAGGAGUUGUAAACUGAUAAUAUUGACGUGGUGUGGUUAAUUAAAUAAUGUUUAGGGCUUGGGGGCAAGAUUUGUUGUGUUAAGGGCUCGUUUUGAGACUUCGAAAAGCCAUUUGGACGUGACUAUUGGAAAAUGAAACCAAACAACUUUUAAAUAUUAUUUAUUAUUCCACACUUUACUUUUUUUAUUUCUCAGAUGGAUCUCAACUUUUCAUACCUUUUUCUUUAUAUAUAUAUAAAAAAUACUUACCAUCUAAUUUUAUUUUCUUUCAAAUCAUAUACGUGUAUAUGUUAGACAUCCUUUUUUUCGUUCUAUUCCUCUUAUUUUUGUUAUUUGAUUCUGUUUACUAAAAUAUUCAGAUCGACUGAACUAAAAUUCUUAAAAUCUCUAUUUAUAUUUAAAGAUAUCGUAUUCUAAACUUUGAGCUGUAUUGCUAUUUGGUCUACAUUCUUAGUUGCAUUUACAAAAUGCUUAUAUGGUAUGAUUGCUAUAAUGAAAAAUAGAUAGCUGUGUAUGCUUAAACCAUGUUUGUUUUACAAGUAAUUUAAGUAAUGGUUGAAUUUGAAAGGGAAGAAAAAAAAAUACACAUUCAAUUAAAUUAAAAAAGAACAAAUCUUAACAGAGAAAAUAUCUUAUUUAUGAAAUAUUAUAAGAGAUCACAAAUCUAAAUAAUAAUAAUGAUGAUGAUUUGAGUACUUUUAUGAAUUAUUAUAAUUUUUAUCCAUUUAUUUCUUAAGUAUUAAUUGAUGUCAGAGAGUAAUAUUAUAGAAAUUGAUAGCUGUAUGAGUAUGAAUAUAAGUAAGUAUUUUUUGUAGACUUGAGUGAAACGUUGAAAAAGCAAAUCAAAAUUUAUUAUAACCCACCAAUAAAACAUGACAUUUCAAAUAAAUCUAAUUGAUGGAUGAAAUUAAUGCUCUACUAUUGUAACACCACUUUCUAUAACUUGUUUUCUUUUUAUCAACAAUAUAAUAUAGUUUCUUGUUAAUCUAAAAUGAUGAAUGUGACAAUUAAUUUAAUUAUAGGGUGACAUCAUUGUUCUUCUUUUUAAAAAAGUUUGCAGAGUUAGGAUAUCAAAAUGGUCCUAUUUCUUAUUUCAAGAUUUUGAAUCAAUAAAUUAUUAAUAAUACACAAAUUGAAUUGAAUUAGGUGACUAAUAUUUUAAAAAUCAAAAUUUAUGGGCUUCUAAGAAUAUUAAAUUUUAAUUAAUCAAAUGAUUAAUGUUGAUAAUUUAUGAGGAGCGGUCACUUUUACCAUUUACACUUCUAUAAACUAUUGUUGAAUUUUUGAUGAAGUGAUAUCUUCAUUUAAAAUAUAACUACAAUGAACUUUGUUGAUAUACUCUUAUUUUGAGGUACAAUUCACCAACUGUGGAAAUAAUAAUCAUGAAAAUAGUUGUACAUGUACAUUGCAUCCAUUUUUAAAUAUUAUGAAACUUAUUUUUUUUUAAAAAAAAUUAUGCAGUACAUAGUUAUGUUGAACCAACGAACUGAUCGAGUUUGUGAAAACAUUGAAAACAUUUCUAUAUUGGACUUUUACAAAAAAAUGAUGACAACCAUUUAAAAAGGUAUGAAUUUUUUUAUUUUUUUGAAAAAAUUAAAGAUGAUUAUUAUGCAAAAUCCAAUCCUAUAUAGGUUAAAGAAAUUUAUAUUUAUAACACUUUACAUUAGAAAUAUUUCUUUGAAGAUGGUUUUUAAACUAAUCAAUUUUUAGAUUUCUUUUUGAUAUCAUUUAUAUACAAACUUUAUUGAACACAAUUUCAUUUAAUUAAUUCUUUUUUUGUAAGUGUUCAUACAAAAGUUAAUCAUGUUUUCGCAAAGCUACUCUAAAUAUGUUUUUAUUUUUUAUUUUUUGAAUUAUAAAUUAUUGCAAACAUGCUUGCAAUCUAUUAUUUAUAUAUAUAUAUCUCGGACGUUAGACUUUGCUUGAUUGAUUCAAUUUUUAUUUUUUAUUUGCCUAGAUAAAAAUUGAUUGAAUUAAAUUCUUAAUUAGAAAAAUGAGAAGUUGUAGGUAUAUUUCAACUGCAUAUAAGAGGAAUGAUAUUUGGUUGUAUUUUGGAUAAAAUUGAAAUCAUAUUAAUGUGCCCUAAAUACUUUGGGGCCGGGUUUGAGGUAUAUUGUUUAUGAUUAAAUUUGUGAUGAGUGUUUUGAAUUCUAUAAUUGACUCAAUGCACUCUCUGUUAAAUUAACCACACAUUCUUUCUUUCUUUUAUAUUUUUUUACAACGUAAAACUAUUUUGAAAUAAUUAGUAUUGUUAUUGCUUUUGGUAAAGUAAAUUAACCACAUCAUGGAGAUUAAAGAUACAAGGGACUUCCGUAAAAGAGGAGUAGUUCAAAAAGGAAUGUUUUCAACAAUUAUUUGUUCGUGAAAGAAUAAAAUUAACAUCGACCUUGACCUUUGAGUUUUCACGUUUGUUACACACUUUAGGCUGUAUAUGCUUUCAUUUUUUAUUCUCCUUUAAUUUGAGACAUCAUUUUUAGUCAACACAACCAUUUUAUUUGAUGUCAUGACCCUUUCUUCCUCUGCUUGUAUUUAGAGAACAAACAAACAUGCACGGGCCACUUGUUACAAAUAGAGAGAGAGAGAGUGAGAGAAAACCCUACUUUUGCUAAAUAAUCUAAAUUUAACAACUAAAAUUGCUAUAAAAUGGUCUUCUCCUUUCCUCACACCAUAAAGCCCAUAACAAAAAAAAAAAAAGACUUACAGAAAGCUAAAACUAAAAAAUGGCAAAAAACAUUAUGGUUGUUUUCUUUAUGUGCAUUGUUGUGAUGGGAUCACUACAAUUCUCCAAGGCACAGACGACCGCUAACAUGAGCCCAGAUCUUCAGGCGGCCGAGAAGAUCAAAAGUAUCACCGAAGGAAUGAAACUAUGGCCUCAAAUGGAAUCAUGUGUACUAACAUGCAGGAAAGAAUGUGAUGCAAAAGGCGAUGCCAAUGCUUCAUGUCAUCAGAAAUGCAACAAUGAUUGCACGGAAAAGACUAUUGGUAUUUUCUUCAAUCUCAACAGAAAUGUUUGUUUUCUUUAAGACAAUAAUUAAUUUUUUAAGUGAGAUAAAUUUUAGUUGCAAGGCAAAAUUUAACCUUUAUUCAUGAAAUUAGUGGGUUUGAUAAGAUUCGCAUUCCUUACUUUAAUAGUUUUGAUGCUAGAAAUUGAGGGAAUCGUAGAGUCGAAAUUUUAGAAUGAAAACUCAUCCAAAAAAAAUUUGAUUGUUUAUUUCUUUCAACUUAAUGUUUUUUUUUUUUUGUUAAUUUGAUUUUUUAUUCAUUUGUUUUGCAGCAUCAGUCAAGAACUAACUUCCCAUUGAUAAUUGACCAUGGAAUUAUUAAAGCAGAGAUCGGGAAAAUGAUCGGAUCAAGUAUAAAUUAUUUGAAUAAUUAGCAUUUCAACAAGGAAAAUCUAAAUUCCUUGACCCUCUUGUCGUCCAAUUUUAUUGCUUAUUUAUACAAAGGUUUUAUCCUUACAUAUCGUUGUGUGCUUCUUUCAUAAUUGUUGUCAACAACGAGAUCAAUAAAAUUCAUUUAGUUUAAGUGUUUAUUCACGUAACCUUUCUAUCAUUUUACAUUUAUUAUAUAAUCCUAACGUAUAGAAGAAAUUUUAUAAAUAUAUUACAGUACUAUUCAAGUUGCGAGUUCUUUUGUCACAUGUGUUUGUUUAAUAUUCAUUUGUAGUUUUUGAUAUAUUAUUAAAGUGAUAUGAUAUGUUCUACUGCUUUUAUUUUAAUUACAAUUUCAACAGAAGUUUAUAAUUUUCAAUUGGUAUUUCAUAGCCUUUGGAUUGGAAAAAAAAAUAAAGAGAAAAUUGGAGACGGGGAGAUGGGUUGAGAAAAUUAGGAAAUUGGUGAAGAACAUAUGAAGGGAGAAAUUGAUUAAAGAAACAAAAAAAAUGUUAUUAGGUAAACAUCCAUUGAAAUUUAUUCUUAAUUACAUGAAGAUUCAUUUUUAUUUUAAUCAUGAUUGAUACAAAUUUCCAUUCUAUUCUAAUCGUGAUUGUUUCGUUCUCCUCUAUUUUUAUUUCAAAAGUAAAAUAAAAAAUUCAUUUCUUGUAUUUGACACUUUGAUUAAAAUUAAUUAAUCUUUGUUAGCUUCAAUUUUAAUACAACCAAAGUUUUUAGCUUUAAAAAAUUCAUUACAAAUGAGGCUCCAGUGCAUAUACAUCACUUUGUAUUAGAAAUCUUCUUCGUAUAUAUAAAACAAAACAAACACUAUUGAAAAUUGUUGUGAAUAAUAUUCAUAUGAAUUAUACUUCAAAACCUCAUGCAAACUUCUGAUUUUAGUUACCAAAUUAUAAACCUUACAAUUCUCCUUUUCUUAGGCUUAUACUUAAUUCCCAAAUCUCUCCUAUAGAUGAGACUAAAGUACACUGGCACAUCAAAGAUUGAGUUUCAAUUUUAGGUACAAUCGGAUAACUAACUGAGAAUCCGACUUUGAGAUAUUCCAUUUAUUUAGAGGAAAAUUUGUUGCAAUUUCGUCCAAGAAAAUAAAUCUCAAAUAUAUUCGUCAUUCACACGAAUACCUCUAGGAUGAUCACGUUUUGUUAGAUCAUAGGGGAUAAUUAAUUUUUGUUGGUUUAUUUAUUUAUCUAUUAUAAAACAUCCGCCUCCAUCAUAAAUUUAGAAUGGUGCCAAAAGUCACGAAAGUUCACAUCUAACUACUGGGUGGCCUCAUUUUGAGAGUUAUUAAGAUUUAUUGCCCAUAAAUGCGGAAGAAAAUAUACCAGAGAGUCAGUUUUUAUUUUCAUCCCAAAACGUUGAAGAAAAGGUCAAUGCUAUAGUCUGCGAAGAAAUGACCCAAUCUAGAAUGGUGCCAAAGGUCUCGAAAGUUCACAUCAAACUACUGGGUGGCCUCAUGUUGAGUGACAUUAUAGUUUCUUGCCAACAAAAGCCGAAAAAAUAUACCUGAGAGUCGGUUCUUAUUUUGGUCCCAAAACGUUUAAAACUGAGUCAAUGCUAUAGUCUGCGAAGAAAAGACCCAAUUUAGAACGAUGCCAAAGGUCUCGAAAGUUCACAUCUAACUACUGGGUGGUUUCAUCUUGAGUGACAUUAAAGUUUCUUGCCCAUAAAAGUCAAAGAAAAUAUGCCCGUAAGUUGAUUUUAAUUUUCGUCCCAAAACGUUGAAAAAAGGGCCAAUGCUACAUCCUGAGAAGAAAGGACCCGAUUUAGAACAGUGCCAUAGGUAUCAAAAGUUCACAUCUAACUACUGGGUGGUCUCAUCUUGAGUGACAUUAAAAUUUCUUGUCCAUAAAAGUCGAAGAAAAUAUGCCGUAAGUCGAUUUUUAAUUUCGUCCCAAAACGUUGAAAAAAGGGCCAAUGCUACAGCCUGAGAAGAAAGGACCCGAUUUAGAAGAGUGUCAUAGGUAUCAAAAGUUCGCAUCUAACUACUAGGUGGUCUCAUCUUGAGUGACAUUAAAGUUUCUUGUCCAUAAAAGUCGAAGAAAAUAUGCCCGCAAGUCGAUUUUUAUUUUCGUUCCAAAACGUUGAAAAAAUGGCCAAUGCUACAGCCUGAGAAGAAAGGACCCGAUUUAGAACAGUGUCAUAGGUAUCAAAAGUUCACAUCUAACUACUGGGUGGUCUCAUCUUGAGUGACAUUAAAGUUUCUUGCCCAUAAAAGCAUAAGAAAAUAUGCCUGAGAGUCGGUUUUUAAUUUCGUCCCAAAACGUUGAAAAAAGGGCCAAUGCCAAAAUCUGAGAAUAAAGGACCAACUUAGAACGGUGCCAAAGGUCUCGAGGGUUCACAUCAAAUUACUGGGUGGCCUCAUGUUGAGUGACAUUAUAGUUUCUUGCCAACAAAAGCCAAAAAAAUAUGCUUGAGAUUCGUUUCUUAUUUCGGUCCCAAAACGUUGAAAAAUGGGCCAAUGCUAUUGCCUACGAAGAAAGGACCCAAUUUAGAUCGGUGUCGAACGUCUCGAAAAUUCACAUCUACCUACUGGAUGAUCUCGUUUUGAGUGACAUUAAAGAUUCUUGCCCAUGAAAGCCGAAGAAAAUAUGCCGAGAGUCGGUUUUUAAUUUCGUCCCAAAAUGUUGACGAAAGGGCCAACGCUAUAACUUGCAAAGAAAUGACCCAAUUUACAACGUUGUCAAAGGUCUCGAAGGUUCACAUCUAACUACUGGGUGACCUCAUGUUGAGUGACAUUAAAGUUUCUUGCCCACAAAAGCCGAAAAAAAUAUGUCUGAGAGUCGAUUCUUAUUUUGGUCCUAAAACGUUGAAAAAUGGGCGAAUGUUAUAGCCUACGAAGAAAUGACCCAAUUUAGGACGGUGCCGAAGUCUCGAAAAUUCACAUCUAACUACUAGGUGAUAUCGUUUUAAGUGACAUUAAAGUUUCUUCCCACAAAAAGCCGAAAAAAAUAUGUUCGAGAGUCGACUUUUAUUUUAAUCCUGAAAUGUUGAAAUAGGAGCCAAUGCUAUAGCCUACGAGAAAAGGAUCCAAUUUAGAAUGAUGCCGAAGUUCUGGAAAAUUCAUAUUUAACUACCGUGGUCUCGUUUUGAGUGACAUUAAAGUUUCUUGGCCACAAAAGUAAAAAAAAAAAAAAAAAAGCCCGAGAGUCGGAUUUUACUUUCGUCCGAAAACGUUGAAAAAUGGGUCAGUGCUAUAACUGACGAAAAAAAGGACUCAAUUUAGAACGGUGCCAAAGGUCUAAAAAAUUCACAUCUAACUACUGGGUGGUCUCGUUUUGAGUGACAUUAAAGUUUCUUUCCCACAAAAGACAAAAAAAAAAAAAAAUGUCUAGGAUUCGAUUUUUACUUUAGUUCUAAAACGUUAUAAAAGGGGCGAAUACUAUAGCCUACGACGAAAGGACCCAAUUUAGAACGGUACCAAAGAUCUCGAAAAUUUACAUCUUAACUAUUGGGUGAUCUUGUUUUAAGUGACAUUAAAGUUUCUUGCCCCAAAAGUCGAAAAAAAAUAUGCCCGAGAGUCGGUUUUUACUUUCGUCCCUAAAACGUUGAAAAAUGGGCAAAUGCUAUAGCCUACGAAGAAAUGAUCCAAUUUAGAAUGGUGCUACAGGUCUGACAAAUUGAAUCUAACAACUGGUUGGUCUCAUUUUGAGUGACAUUAAAGUUUUUUGCCCACAAAAGUCGAAAAAAAAAUAUGUCCGAGAGUCGGUUUUCACUUUCAGCCAAAACAUUGAAAAAUGGGGCCAAUGCUAUAGUCUACCAGGAAAGGACUCAAUUUAGAACGGUGUCAAAGGUCUCAAAAAAUCACAUCUAACUACUGGAUGGUCUCGUUUUGAGUGAGAUUAAAGUUUUUUGCCCACAAAAGCCGUAAAAAAAUAUGCCAGAGAGUCGAUUAUUACUUUCGUCCCAAAACAUUGAAAAAAGGGCAACGUUAUAGCCUGCGAAGAGAGGACCCAAUUUCGAACGGUGUCAAAAGUCUCCAAGGUUUACAUCUAACAACUGGGUGGCCUCAUGUUGAGUGACAUUAAAGUUUCUUGUGUACAAAAGUCGAAAAAAAAUAUGUCUGAGAGUCGGUUCUCAUUUUGGUUCCAAAACGUUGAAAAAAGUGUCAAUGCUAUAGCCUACGAAGAAAAGAUCCAAUUUAGAACGGUGCCGAAGGUCUCAAAAAUUCACAUCUAACUACUCGGUGGUCUCGUUUUAAGUGACAUUAAAGUUCUUUGUCCACAAAAGCCGAAAAAAAAAAAGUCUGAGAGUUGAUUUUUAAUUUCGUCCCAAAACGUCAAAAUAAGGGACAAUGCAGCCCACGAAAUAAAGAUCAAAUUUAGAAGAAUGUCGAAAGUCUCGAAAAUUCAUAUCUAACAAGUGAGUGGUCUCGUUUUGAGUGACAUUAAAGUUUGUUGCACACAAAAGCCAAAAAAAAAAACAAAACCCAAAGUCGAUUUUUAUUUUUGCUCCAAAACGUUAUAAAAGGGGCCAAUGCUAUAGCCUAUGAAGAAAGGACCCAAUUUUGAACGGUGCCAAAGUUUUCAAAAAUUCACAUAUACCUACUGGGUUGUCUCGUUUGAGUGACAUUAAAGUUUCUUGCCCACAAAAGCUGAAAAAAAUAUGCCCGAGAGUCGAUUUUUAUUUUCGUCCAAAAGCGUUGAAAAGUUGGUCAAUGCUAUAGCCUACGAAGAAAGGUUGCUUGUAUGUAGAAAAUGUUCCAUGUAUUCUUGCAUUUCUUUGUUGAACCACCUGCCCUCUACAAAACAAACCAUUUGGACGGUAAAAGUAUUACCUUUCUCUUUUAGUAACAAUUUUAAGAUCAGUUUACUUUCAAUUGGUAAUUCAUACUGUAAAGAGAAAAAUGAAAGUUUGUUAAGAUGAUAGAAGAAUAUUCGUCUUUGAAUGCAAAAUAAUAAAGAGAAAAUUCGAGAUGGGGAGAUGGGUUGGAAAAAUUAGGAAAUUGGUGAAAGAUAUAGGAAGGGAGAAAAUGGUAAAAAGAAAAAAAAAGAACGUUCUUAGGUAAAAAUUGAUUGAAUUAAAUUCUUAAUUAGAAAAAUGAGAAGUUGUACGUAUAUUUCAACUGCAUAUAAGAGGAAUGAUAUUUGGUUGUAUUUUGGGUAAAAUUGAAAUCAUAUUAAUGUGCCCUAAAUACUUUGGGGCCGGGUUUGAGGUAUAUUGUUUAUGAUUAAGUUUGUGAUGAGUGUUUUGAAUUCUAUAAUUGACUCAAUGCACUCUCUAUUAAAUUAACCACACUUCUUUCUUUCUUUUAUUUUUUUACAACGUAAAACUAUUUUGAAAUAAUUAGUAUUGUUAUUGCUUUUGGUAAAGUAAAUUAACCACAUCAUGGAGAUUAAAGACACAAGGGACUUCCGUAAAAGAGGAGUAGUUCAAAAAGGAAUGUUUUCAACAAUUAUUUGUUCGUGAAAGAAUAAAAUUAACAUCGACCUUGACCUUUGAGUUUUCACGUUUGUUACACACUUUAGGCUGUAUAUGCUUUCAUUUUUUAUUCUCCUUUAAUUUGAGACAUCAUUUUUAGUCAACACAACCAUUUUAUUUGAUGUCAUGACCCUUUCUUCCUCUGCUUGUAUUUAGAGAACAAACAAACAUGCACGGGCCACUUGUUACAAAUAGAGAGAGAGAGAGUGAGAGAAAACCCUACUUUUUGCUAAAUAAUCUAAAUUUAACAACUAAAAUUGCUAUAAAAUGGUCUUCUCCUUUCCUCACACCAUAAAGCCCAUAACAAAAAAAAAAAAAAAAGACUUACAGAAAGCUAAAACUAAAAAAUGGCAAAAAAACAUUAUGGUUGUUUUCUUUAUGUGCAUUGUUGUGAUGGGAUCACUACAAUUCUCCAAGGCACAGACGACCGCUAACAUGAGCCCAGAUCUUCAGGCGGCCGAAAAGAUCAAAAGUAUCGCCGAAGGAAUGAAACUAUGGCCUCAAAUGGAAUCAUGUGUACUAACAUGCAGGAAAGAAUGUGAUGCAAAAGGCAAUGCCAAUGCUUCAUGUCAUCAGAAAUGCAACAAUGAUUGCACGGAAAAGACUAUUGGUAUUUUCUUCAAUCUCAACAGAAAUGUUUGUUUUCUUUAAGGCAAUAAUUAAUUUUUUAAGUGAGAUAAAUUUUAGUUGCAAGGCAAAAUUUAACCUUUAUUCUUGAAAUUAGUGUGUUUGAUAAGAUUCGCAUUCCUUACUUUAAUAGUUUUGAUGCUAGAAAUUGAAGGGAUCGUAGAGUCGAAAUUUUAGAAUGAAAACUCAUCCAAAAAAAAUUGAUUGUUUAUUUCUUUCAACUUAAUGUUUUUUUUUUUUGUUAAUUUGAUUUUUUAUUCAUUUGUUUUGCAGCAUCAGUCAAGAACUAACUUCCCAUUGAUAAUUGACCAUGGAAUUAUUAAAGCAGAGAUCGGGAAAAUGAUCGGAUCAAGUAUAAAUUAUUUGAAUAAUUAGCAUUUCAACAAGGAAAAUCUAAAUUCCUUGACCCUCUUGUCGUCCAAUUUUAUUGCUUAUUUAUACAAAGGUUUUAUCCUUACAUAUCGUUGUGUGCUUCUUUCAUAAUUGUUGUCAACAACGAGAUCAAUAAAAUUCAUUUAGUUUAAGUGUUUAUUCACGUAACCUUUCUAUCAUUUUACAUUUAUUAUAUAAUCCUAACGUAUAGAAGAAAUUUUAUAAAUAUAUUACAGUACUAUUCAAGUUGCGAGUUCUUUUGUCACAUGUGUUUGUUUAAUAUUCAUUUGUAGUUUUUGAUAUAUUAUUAAAGUGAUAUGAUAUGUUCUACUGCUUUUAUUUUAAUUACAAUUUCAACAGAAGUUUAUAAUUUUCAAUUGGUAUUCAUAGCCUUUGGAUUGGAAAAAAAAAAUAAAGAGAAAAUUGGAGACGGGGAGAUGGGUUGAGAAAAUUAGGAAAUUGGUGAAGAACAUAUGAAGGGAGAAAUUGAUUAAAGAAACAAAAAAAGAAUGUUAUUAGGUAAACAUCCAUUGAAAUUUAUUCUUAAUUACAUGAAGAUUCAUUUUUAUUUUAAUCAUGAUUGAUACAAAUUUCCAUUCUAUUCUAAUCGUGAUUGUUUCGUUCUCCUCUAUUUUUAUUUCAAAAGUAAAAUAAAAAAUUCAUUUCUUGUAUUUGACACUUUGAUUAAAAUUAAUUAAUCUUUGUUAGCUUCAAUUUUAAUACAACCAAAGUUUUUAGCUUUAAAAAAUUCAUUACAAAUGAGGCUCCAGUGCAUAUACAUCACUUUGUAUUAGAAAUCUUCUUCGUAUAUAUAAAACAAAACAAACACUAUUGAAAAUUGUUGUGAAUAAUAUUCAUAUGAAUUAUACUUCAAAACCUCAUGCAAACUUCUGAUUUUAGUUACCAAAUUAUAAACCUUACAAUUCUCCUUUUCUUAGGCUUAUACUUAAUUCCCAAAUCUCUCCAUUAGAAGAGACUAAAGUGCACUGGCACAUGCACAUCAAAGAAGAGGUCAUCUAUAUAUAUAGAAAAAAUAAUAUAGAAUACGUAUAAUCCAUCCCACAAAUUUUUUUUCUUCAUACAGAAAAUAAUAAAUUUUGAUAGAUUACUUGUAUUUAAUAUAUUGAAAUGUUUGAAAUUAAAGUUUGAUUAUGGUUUAAUUAUGAUGAUUAAAAGGGUAUAGAAUAGAUAUAAAAAUAAGGGUCUUUUUUGGUUUUGUAGGGGAAAUAGAAUGGUGAAGGGUGAAGGGUGAAGGGUGAAGGGGGGGUUUUGUUUUGUGUAAAUUUAAAUGUGUAUUUGUGUUUAAAAGAAAAUUGGUUGCUUUUGUGGGCAAAGUAUUCGGAUUUGAGAGGGAAAUAUUGAAUUCCAUUUAAGGAAAGUGAUUGGGUUCCGUUUUGGUGCAUUAGUCAAUUUUCAAAAUUCCAAAAAUUAAAGUUGAUUGAAGGAGAGAGAUAUUGUGAGAAUUAAAACCCAUUCCCCAUUGGGACACAAUUUGACAUCACACUUCAUUUCCACCAUUAUUAGUUCUUUUUUUCUUUUAAGAAGUUCUUUUUUCAAUAUUUCAUUUCAAUAUUUUAUUGGGCGAGAGAAUAAUCAUUAAGGUUAAUGACAACUGUCUCUGUUAAUACGACAUAUUUUGGGAUAAAACUAAAAGCAAAGUUAUGUAGGUGUAUAUUCAAAGUAGACAAUAUCAUAUCAUUAUGGACAUGUGAAUGAGUUAUCUAGAAAACGUGUCCUUUCCUUUAUCAUAAGAACUUAAUUAUCCAUGUUGAACUCUUUUUCGUUGCUUAUAUAUAUUUAUCCUUAAAAACACAUGCUCUCAUAUAUUCUUAAUAGAUAAGAUUUCACUAAAGAACUAAAAAUGAAACUAAUUAUAAAAACAAUAAACAUUCCACUUUGUUAAAGAGAUGUCAAGAACAAUGAGACUAAUAAUGAUAAUUAAAGAAAAAUGUUCAUAUUAAACAAAGGGUAUAGGGAAGUGAUCAUAACUUAAUCUCAAAGCUUCCUCUUCCCCAUUCAUGCAUAACACUUUUCAUUCCACACUAUUAAUUGAGUAAUCCUAUUGAUUAGGAAAUAAACAAUCACAAUAUGAAAGUUAAGCUCAAUGGAGUCCAAACCAAGUUAUAAACCUAAUCAUGUCAUGAGGGCAAUUAUUAUGCUGCAAGUUUCAAUGACGGGUUACAAACAAAAUAAUUAAAAGACUACGUAUCAAUUAUAUUGUGGAAUGCUCACUUUGAAGCUAAGUUAUCUAUCAAAGUUUAAGAGUCCAAUUCAUAUUCAAGUUUGAUACGGCAAUUCAGAGUAUUGUUCAUAUUAACGGAAGUCAAUUAUUCAAAUUCUAAUAAUCUAACUUCAUUCACUUUUUUAAAUGUUUUACUUAAUUUAAUUUGUAUAUUUUUCAUUCACGAAGGUUCACAUAUGAAAUAGAAAAUUUUGUUGGAAUUUUUUGUCCUAAAACUCGUAGUUUGUAAAUCAUAUUCUAUUCAAUAAAGUUGUUAUUGAGAAAUUAAAAUAUUAUAAUCUUAAAUCCAAUAAAUCAAAGUUCCAAGGCUAUUUUUUGAAUAAACUUGAACUUUAUGUGUAAACAUAAACGUGGAUCAAGUUCGAGUAUAUAGCCUAAAUAGUCUAUAGUAUAUGAAAUAAAGGUUGGGCGCCUUAUUUUGAGAGACUAUGGAUGCGGCCCACUUUGUAGUACAAACGAUGUGAUCCUAAUCGUUCAUGUAGAGACAUGAAAGUGGGGGCAUCCUAUGUAAAAUGUUUACAUAAGACUGAACCAUGAAUUAGUCAUUUUUACGUUAUAACACCGUUUACUGUUUAAAACUGACUAUCUCAAUUAUUGAUGACCUAGGUAACUUAGUCUUAAUCCUGAGUUAACUAUGAACUCCUGUUCAUACGAGAUUAUCUUUAGAUCUGCAUAGGUGAGGGCAGCUCAUCAGCGUUGGCCCAAUAAGCCUCCCAUUUCAGGGGUAAGAUCGGGUGGAUAGCUGGGAACAUAGGGUACAAGAUGGAAUUCACUCCUACCCGCUUUAGGGUUAGUAGAUAGGUUGCUCUCUUAAGCACUGAAUCCAAGUCUUGAACAAGGGGCCCCACCCUCUCAUUGGCCCGAGAGGGAUUAAGUUUAUAGGUUGAACCUUAAACCAAUUGUUCAAUAGUGGAUUAGUGGGACUUAAGGAGCAAGAUGUAAUCCUGGGGGUAAAACGGUAUUUUGACCCAGCCAAGGUUACGAGCAACCUGUGAAGGAUUAACUUACUGAUUAUGGUUUUAUCAAAUGGACACAAAUAUAUCUAUAGUGAGGGGAGUGCAACUACGGGACUUUAGUGGAAUGACCCGUUAGUUAACGAAUGUUGAUUAACUCGGUUUAAAAGAGUUUAGCUAGUUAAUCUUGAAUCGUUGGAGCCCAUGAUCUAUAGGUCCAUUAGGUUCCUCUGCUAGCUCAUAUGGAUUAAACUUAGAACAGUGUGAUGAAAUAAGUCGAAUUGUUCGAAUAGGGAGAAGAAAGGAAAACCGACAUAUACAGUGAUAUAAUCGUCGGUCUUCUAAUUAGAAAUAGAGCUUUAUGUUUUACAUACUAUAAGUAUGAAUGCGGAUUCAUACUAAGAAGCUCGGAAUUGGUCAAAAAUAGUAAAAAGUCAAAAUGUUGACUUUUGACUUUGAAAAGUCAAACUUUGACCGGCCUUAUAUUCAAAUGUGAUUUGAAUUUUGGAAAAAUGAAUGCGGAUUCAUGCUCGGGAGGUUGGAAUUAGUCAAGACGGACAAAAUGGUAAAAAGUCAAAAUAUUGACUUUUGACUUAGAAAAGUCAAAGUUUGACUUUUGACUAGAAAAAUCUAAUGACCAUUUUACCCUUGGACUAAGUUAGUGGGAAAAUCCAACAUUUUGUUGGAUAAUCCCACUAACUCUUAGUGGGAUAUGUGGCUAUAUGAGAUAUAGACACCUAGCCCACUAAGUUCCACUAAUUGUUAGUGGAAUAUUAGGUGUUGAGAUUUGGCAAUUGAAUUGCAUGCAUUUUUGCAUGUAAUUAGGCUAUAAAUAGAGAUGUUUUCAAAUGUUGAAGGACUUUUGCCUCUUUUAUCAUUUUCAUAAUCUCAACAAAAGAAAAAAAAAAAAGCUUCCAAUCUCAUUUUAUCUCCACUACUUUCUACACCAAAAUUGGGUCCCACAACCCGGUUCUUUGUCUAGAGGAUAGCAGUUGAGUACUAGUGGUGGUCUCGGGUAGAAUUGGUAAGAAGACAUCAAACCUUUUGAAAGCUUCAAAGGUAAUACUUCUUAAAACCCUAAUUUGAUUAGUUUAUGGUUACAUGUUAAUUGUGGCAAUUAGGGUAGAAAUUCGAUUCUUUUUCCGCUGUGCAUGACUUAGUUCUAUCAAAUUUCAUAUUGAACUUUAAUCUCUUUCGAACUUUAUAGUCUUUUUCUUCCUUCACUUUCAAUUUUAGUAUGAUCUAUUAGAUCGUUAAAAUUUCAAAGUUUAACUUAAUAAAAUUGUUAAAUGAUAUAUAACAUUCAAUUUACGAAUAUGUUAACUUAAACUUUUAAGUCAAUUUAUGAUUAACAAGUUCUCAUUUCUCAUUGAUGAUUGAUCAUAUUUCUAAAUAAAAUGUACAAUUGUGUCGUGAUCUUAUUAUUUUAGAUAUUCUUCUCAUUGGUGUGGAGAUUCGCUUAGAAUAAGAGAUAUAUAGGGUGUGUUUGGUUGAGAUUCUAAAGUGAUUAAUUUUGCCAAAAAAACUAUUUUGAAAAAAAUGGUAGUGUUUGGCAAAUUAAAAUAAUGUAUUUUUUAAAAAUUCAUUUAUAAAAUAAUGUAUUUUAAAGAAAUCUUUAAAAACCAAAAUCAUAUAUAAACAAUUAUAAAAAAAAUCUAACCAAACAUUAAAUGUUUAAAUUUUAAACUCAUUUUCGAAAAAGUAUUUAAAAUGAAAUGUAUUAUUGAAAAACAUUAUGUUUUUAAUUCAAUCAAAACGGACCCUUAAUCCAUAAUCAACACAACACUUCAUUGAAUCUUCUUUCCAACAAAAUAAAUAACAAAAAUUUGUAAGUUUUUGUCUUAAAUAAUUAACUUUUUAUUAUUAUUAUAAUCCUUUCCAAUUAUUUCUUUACUGAAUCUCUGAAAAUGCAACAAAACAAGAAAAAAACAUAUAUUUUUGGAAUUAACAAAUUGAACUACAAAUGAAAAAAAAUAAAUAAUACAAUUUCUCUAUGAAUUGAAUUUACUGUAAUAAUUUCAAAAACAUAUUUUACAUGAAGAAAAAAAAUAAUAUAAUUUAUUCUGUGUAUUUGAUUUAAUGUAAAAAAUUUCACUUUUGUAGUUGCUAACAAAAAAUAUUUAUACAAAAUGAACAAAAAGAAUUAAUGUAAAAUUUGGGUGUAUUUGAAUUAGGGUAUAACUAAAGAAAAUGAACUUGUGAUAGGAACAACAACAAAAUUCUACACAAAUGCAAAAAAUGUUCACAUUUUACAUUUUAUAUUGAAUUCAUAAAAAAAGAAAAAACAAGAAUUUCAUUUUUUAUUUUCACAAUUAUUUUGGUACACUUUUUUUACACAAAUGAAAAAAAAAAUACAAUCUUUUUAUCGUAAUCCUUCUUCCAAAUAAAUAUUAUAAAUAAUUCUCCAUAAUCUUCUCACAAACAAUAAUUAUAAUAAUAAUUUCCUUUUCAUAAACCCUCUCUUUAUUCCUUUCCUCCCAUCUUCCUUUCCUUUUCUCCCCCAAAAUAUUCUUCUAAAAGAGGAUUCUCAAAGAAUAUGUUUUCCGCCACGUCGGUUCCAUUCUCAGCCACCCUUCUUCUUCGCCACGUGUGCUUGAUUCGUUGGGCCUCCCUAAGGGCCCAAAUGUGUAGUCCGCCUCGACAGUAAGCCCAGAAUGAUGAAUCAAAAUCACAGUUUAUAUAAAAAUUGAAUUGAGAAAAUUAAUUAAUUGAAAAUCAUUAACAAUACUUACAAAAUAAAUCAUGGAAUUUAGGAGAGAUGAAUCUAUUCUGUUUUUCUAUACGGAAAUGAAUCAAUUUACUCUUGCCUAAUACCAAAUAUUGUGUGCAUUUUUAUUGGUUCCCCAUUCCAAAUUAUUCCAAAUUCAUUCCCUUUUUAAAAUCACUCCUUUACAUUUUUUAAAUAAGGAGAAAAUAUCUUUUCUUUUGAUUCACUUUAAAACCUCAAAUUUUCACUCACUUUUGUCUUUAGCUGCUGUUUAUUAAUUUUGUUUCACUACUUAAAUAAUAAAUGAUAAAUCUUACUUCGUAAUUAUUUUUAAAUAAUUAAUAGACACUAAUAGUAAUGAUUAAAAGUGAAAAUAAUAAUAAAUAAAAUAAACAAGGUUAAAAAAUAAAAUAACCAAGGUUUAAAAUGUAAUGAAAAAUUAAACAAAUAAAAUAACCAAAGUUAAAACGUAAAUCAUGGAGUCAAAUCGAUCAAAUUGAAACGAUACUGUAAAUUUGAAAAUUAAUCUCAAAACUUAAAAAAAAAAAGACUAAAUGUGUAAUAUUUUUUAAAUCAAAGGACCAAGCCUAACCCCAAACAUUUGCCAAAAUCAAGGAAGCACUUUCCUUUUUUUCUUAGAAAAAUGGUGUCAUUAGUUGAUACAAAUUUCAUUAAAAUUGUCUGGAAAAAUAAACAAAAAGAAUUUGAAUAUUCAGGAACCAUAGAAAUGUUUCAAAGUUUUGCAAGGAUGCAGUGAAAACAUCAGGCAUCAACUAAAGCUUAACUUGAAUCAAUGCAAGAAGUACACGUACUAACAUAAAUAUAUAACUAUAUAUAUACACACAUGCCCAUACCCUUACCUUGUGUUAUAUUAGAAUGAUGUCAAUAUAAUGAUAUUCCAAGUUGUCUGCUCUCUGUCCAUCAUCAGCCUUCUGACCUUUAGAGUUACCAACUCAAGAACUUGGAGAAUCAAACCUCCAAGCCAAUUCAAAGAAUCUAAUGCUGUGGGUCAGGUUUAUACUUUAUUAAAGUCAACUCUCGUAAGAAUCGAUUCAAAAAAGGUUCUAGAACUAGAUGGUCAAGACCAUGGCAAUGGAGGCAACAAACAGGGAAGAAGAUUUGGGGUCGAUGCAAAAAUGACCAAAAUGAAGAAGAGAAGGGGCUGAUGAGGAUGAAGGCGAUGAACGGCUACCAAAGAAAAGGAAGAGAAACCUGCGUAACAAAAGUUCUUCCACUGCAAAUUCUGAACUUGGAGCACAGAAGAAUAUUAUAUAUUCAUAGCCUAGAAAAUUAGCAUAAUAAUAGUACAAAAUAAUAGGCAUCUUAUCAUCACUCUUCUGAAUAUUUUAAGCACUGGACUCAGCUGAGAAGUUUGGUUAGUCCUAAAUAUUCAACCAAUGUCUUAAAAGGACUUCAAUUAACUCUAUCACUUCCAAGAGGACUUCACAAAAAUAGUAA